AUCGAGGAUUAGAGAUUCCUUGUUGCGCAUUCACUUGCCUUCAUGACUAAGUGGCUUAACCCCAAUUAUGCUGUGGACAUCCGCGAAUGGGGUGACUUUGACACAAUCAAAGAUUAAGUACUUAGCCACAACACAACGACGAUGCCUCAGGUCAAAGGACUACUGACAUUAUUCCAACCAUUAGAGUUACUUGCUUGACAUGUGAGUAGACCUCCAUGCAAGUACUCUCAUUCGAUUGUGUUCAGUGAACUCAUUCCCUUAAUAAGCACCUACAUACUUGUCUUAGUGUCACUACACAAAUGGGAUGAGACUUUCCAUUCUUCCAUUUGAAGCGGACACAGUAUGUACCGGUCUAAGCAUUGUCAGUAUCCCUCCGACAAUCCAAUGACCAGGAACCUUUUGGACAUAAUGGUUAUGUGAAGAAGGUCUCUGUAGUCUAACAUCAUUAGAUUACUUCUUCAAUCGAUCCAUUGUCCAUGGAUUCAUUAAUUAGGACAUAUAUCGUUUAUUGAGAUAGUCCUAAUUAGUAUCUUUGCCAUUUGAUGUAUAAGAGUCAUCCAUACAUCGAUUCAUUUGUCCUAAAAGGUUUCUUCCAAAGAUUGACUUUCAGGGCAUAUUUCCAACACUUUCGAAUUAGAUUACUAGGGUUGUGGACCCUACCGUCGACUUUGAUUGAUGGUUGACUUUUUGUUCAACUAGCUCGAAUUAUUCUACUGUGUCGUCUAUCUUAGAGUGUUGUUGAGAUUGCAUGGAGCUUAAUGGGCUCAUCCUGAUGACAUGCAUCUUAAUUUAUGUACUAGUGGCACCAUAUUAAGUUAUACUUGUUUAUUCAAUGUGAUUUCUAUUAAAUUGUUAUUUUUAUUUUUAGCCAUCAAUCUAUUGUUGUUAAUUAUGAUUCGACUGUAGCUUGGAAAUGUUUAUGAAAUUUGGUUUGAAUUGUAUGAUUAGUAUGAUGUGUAUGAUUGUUUUUAUGACGAUGUGAACCUAGAAUCUGAUUAGAAGUAUUAGAUAGAACUUUUAUGCUUGUAUGACAAGAUAGUUAGUGGUCAUGAGAAGUUGAUAGUGCAGGUGCCUACAUUGUAAAUCAUGGGGAUUGAGGUAGAGGUAGACUAUAAGUUGAAUUGAUUGCAUCAGGUGGUACUUGGAUGGUCCUGCUUGGUAUAUCCAUGAUAGGGGACCACACAUUAGACUAUGUCUAUGGUUCUGCUUGGUUUAUCUGCAAUGGGGGACCAUACUCAUUCUACGGGUGAUCAUACUUGGUAUAUCCACGAUAGGUGAUCAUUACCUAGAGGUAUAAGAUACAGUCCUGCUUGGUAUAUCCACAAUAGGUGAUCACUACCUAGAGAUAUAGGAUACAAUCCUACUAGGUAUAUCCACGAUGGGGGACCAGUGAUCAUGCUUGGUACAUCUGCGAUAGGUGAUCACUGCCAACAAGUUUAGAUCAUGCUUAUGGUUCUGUUUGGUAUAUCUGCAAUGGGGGACCAUAUGCAUACUAGGUGAUGAUGAUUAGUUGUACUUGGUACAUUUUGAUAGGCGACCUUAUUUUAGUUGAAUUCCGUUAAGAGAUCCGAAAUCCCUACUCUUGCUCAUUUCCAUAAGGUUAGUCUGGCCUUAGAUUCGAGUGAAUAGUAAUUGCUCACAGUAGGCAUCGUGUUUAUAAAUUAGAUUUACCAUGUUAUUAUUUAUAAUCUAAGUGGGUAAUUGUAUAGACUUCUUUUAUUAAACUUUGUGAGGUGAUACAUGAUCUUGUUGAUUGAUUAACAUAAUUAAAUAUUAAUAUCAUGCCUCCUUGAUUCAUGGAAUUGAUUAAUUGAAGUGAUUGUGGUAUGAUGUUGGAUAUAUUUGUUAUUAAUAUGAUUAGAUUAGUUAAUGAAUGUGGCUAGAGGAAAAUGUUGUGCUUUGUUGAUCCUUUGAUACGUUACAUGGUUUGGAUUGCGAUAUUAUGUUGAAAACAUAGUGAUUUUAUGAUGGAUCGAAUGGAAAUCUUGAAUGUCAUGUGGGUUCGUUAUGUAGCUUGAAUCAAUUAAUUCAUGACUGUCAAGUCCAAAUAAUUGAUUGAGGAAUGAUACACUUUCCUAUUAAAAUGUAUUGGGAUAAGUGUCAAAGUUUAGUGAAUGACGAACUACGAAUGGCUUGAUCCCUGUUUAGGGUAUCUAGGUAGUCUAACGAGGAUGUUAGAUACAGCCAUAAAGUAUACGGAAAAUCAUUACGUAGUUGGAUCUCAAGUUGUGCUUUGCCCAUAUCUUGGAGGCGGGAUAUGUUAGAGAUACAGGUAUAUGGUGAUGUCACGUGUCGAUCAUGGACGUAUGUCAAGAUUGAGGCGUGACACUAAGUGUCCAAAGCAUGAUGUCCUAAAGGCAACCAGUUGUGCGUCAUUAAACUUUUGAUGCAUGACUCCUAGCACUUGACUUGCUUGAGAAAGGUUCUUCCCCUAUACAAUUCUUCCUCUUUUAUUGCUAGUUGAACCCCUUGAGUUGCCAUCUCAUGUACACAUAACAAUACAAACAUUCAACACAACCAAAUUUAACAACAUAUACCAUGAAGACAACCAAAUUCAACAAUAUAUACGCUUAACAAAAUCUAUCAACAAGUUUUCAUAACAAUACAUAUACUAUGAAUAGAGCUUCAUGACUUAAGAAAUAUCAAGAUAAUUGAUAAAAUUAAAAAAUAUUUCAACACAAAUCAAUACCAACUCAAGAAUAUAACUUCAACAAAACAAUACUUAACAACCUAGCCCUUAUACACAGCCUGUCAACAACAUUUCAUAAACCCACACCUAUCACAAAUUUCCCAAAUUUCCACAAAUAUCCACCAAUUUCAACUAAUUUCAACAUGCAUAAUUAACAUUAAAAACUAGAUUAAUUAAUCAAAUUUACAUAAACAACAUAAUUUAUUUUUAGGGUUCCGAAUUUCCUAACUACCAAAUUUCAAAUUUACUUUGGGGAAUGAUGUAUGACGUUGAAUAUUGUGAAAGCAAGGACCGUGAACCCAACUCGAAUCAAGCAAGCACCACGUCCUUUCUAUGGAACCAACUGGACUCCCUCGAACCAAAAUCGCCUGAUUUUCUAAACAUUUGCGUGGAACUGCAGUGAGGUUAGUGAUGACAAGCACAACACAAGUACCAACCAAUGGGUUUCGAACGGCAAGGAAAUUUUCGAACAGGUAUGAAGUUUUCGACUGGUAGGAAUUUCAAAUGACUUGCAGGAGAUGAGAGUUUUGCUUUAAGUUCACUGUUGGUGAGAGAGGGAAAGUUUAAAUACCAAACUUUAAAACAGUGGGUACCGCUUUUAAAUAAUGAUGGAUCAUUUAGGACUAGAUUUUAUCGUAAGCUCAUUUUGAUAGAUCUGUUUUUAACCGUUCGGAUUUGAUCCAACGAACGAACGAAUUUGGUCCACACCUAAGGUCCGCAAAGUUCAAUCCGCACCUUAGAAAUCGUGAUAUGGCCUUUCUUCCUAGUUUGAAUUUUUGAACCAAGACCGCAUGGUCCUUCAAUUUGUUAUGUUUUUAUCCAUUCUUAAUUAUGUCCAACUCAAACAGCUAUAAGUACUUUAUGGUAAAACCUAGCAAUAGCUCUACAAACGUAGUUUAAUUGAGAAAAUAUGAGAAAAUAGAAAACAUUUUAAGCCAAAAAGGUAAAAAAGCUGCCUCGUCCCAUGAUUGUAAUGGAAAGCCAGCAAUUUAGGGUUGGUUGCUAGCCAUGCCCAGAAGCACGUGGUGGGAAGAUGCAAUGCCAUCAGCUCAUGCAGCACACAGGACAAUUUAGGGCAUAGAGAAUGCCUGACAAUAUAUAUGUUUAUGUCUUUUGCAAAAUAAUUAUGCAUUCCCAUUUAUUGAGUUCAAUCACACAAAAGGCGAUUAUCAAAAGCGACAACUUUGGCCUGACAUUCUUGAGAUCAACAUGGCAAUCAUUGCAAUUCAUAGCUUUAUGUUUUACUUUUGAGUAAUUAAAUUUGUAGACUGGAUUUUAUGAACUAAAUGAUUUAGAAGUUGGUAAUUUGAUUAUUAUUUAAUUAUUGAUAAAUGUGCUCAUUUUUUAUUUGUGACACAUCAUUUGGUUUGCUAAUUUAGUCUACAAAUUUAAUCUCUCUAACAUUACUCUAACUUUUAAUAGAUCUAUAGGAAAUAAAGGAUGGGGUUUUAUUUGUCCAUUGGAUUUCAUUUUUCUACGAAGCUUUGUCGAAUUAGGAUAAUGCUAGAGAGAUUAAGUAUGUAAAUUAAAUGAUAUAAAAGUUGAUUAUUGGAUUAUCACUAAAAUGUUGUUUAACGUGUUUAUUUCUUAUUGAUGCACAUCAUUUAGUUUACAAAUUUAAUUUGCAAAUUAAAUCUAGCUAACAUUAGUAUGCAUGCAACUUACCCUUUUUAUUUCGAGACAUUCAUAGCUUCAUAUUUUACUUUUCUAACUUUUAAUAUAUCUGUGGGAAAUAAAGGAUGGGGUUUUAUUUGUCCAUUGGAUUUCAUUUUUCAACAUCAUUUUCGAAGCUAUAUGAGAAUGGAAUGCUAGGGAGACUAAAUAUGUAAAUUAAAUAACAUGAAAUUUAAUGAUUGGAUUAUCACUAAAAUAUUGUUUUACAUGCUUAUUUCUCAUUGGUGCACAUUAUUUAGUUUACAAAUUUAGCUUGCAAAUUUAGUCUAGCUAAAACAUUAGUAUGCAUGCAACUUACCCUUUUUAUUUUGAUUCAUGUCUUAUUCUUUGGAGGGGAUCUCCCUUUGUAUCCUGGGCAUAGAUAAAAUGUCGUUUUACAUGUCUCUUAUUGGAAUAUUCAAAUUGAGCAAUUUUCCUUCUAUCUCUUUCAAACCCUAGGACAAAGGACACUAGCAACCAGAGGGGCUCCUUGUUGCAUCCCUUUAUAUGACUUGAUUUAAUAUAUUUGAUGCAUUUGCUUUGGCUCUUGCAGAUUUUCUUAUUCAAAUUUUCCAUUGGAAUGUAAUGUCUAAUUUAUUUUGUUUAUUCCUUUUUUGUGUCGCAGCCUACAGUGGUCCAAGACAUGAAAUCCGAGAAUCCCCAAGAACAUGGCCAACCAAUAUAUUGGAAAAAGCGCAGAAAAUUCACACCAACAAAUUGUACUUCCUUUGUAGAAAAUGUAAAAAAAUUAUUUAUCUAGCCGACUUUUACGCUGUUGUGAUCAUUUACAUCUACUAAUGAAUUUAGAGGAGCACAAAGUCUGACCGAUGAAAGUGCCUUAUUGAAAUGCUUUGCUUUAGUGCCAAGGUACUCAUUCCAACUAAUUGGGCGGUAGAGAGGAGGAUGACUUGGACCUACUAAUUUUGAUAGGGGUGAGAUUUGGAUACUGGCCGGGGGGCCGAACAAGUAAGCGACAGAUAGACGAUGUUGGGUCCGGUUCACAACUGCCCGAUGAAGGACACUUGGGUACAACCCGUUAGAUAAUAUAUGGAAGAGAUCACCAACGUUGAUCACCAAAGCACCGGGCAUUGGUGGAACCGUGACCCACCCGGUGCCCUCCCGAAGCACUUGCAAACCACUAGUGUUGCUUUGGUAGAGGAUUGUGAGGAGGGUAGAAUCCGUAUGUGCAGCCAAACCCAUGGCCCGAUCUGGCUCUGGACAAGCGGGGUAAGAAUUCAAUUGUAAGGCAGCUGAUGCACCUUUGAAUUCACCUUUCGAGCCAGCCCAUUUGAUAUCUUCCAUGGAUAUGCCUAGUGAGCCAAGCAUAAGCCACAUCAACCUCCCAGCAAGCAUUUUCAUUUCCUUCUCAUAUUCCUCAAUGAUAUUGCUGCAAGAACAAAACAAGAGAAAAUAAAAAUCAAAACAUUGUAUAAUACAUACCUAACAAAGAUGAUAUUAAGAAGAUUUAGUCUCUUUGGGACUGCAUCUCUAGAGUGCACAUGCACUCAUAACCGUUUUUGCUAAAAGUUUUUUUUAUUAAAAAUGGGAUGAAAUAUUUACAUAAAAAUGAAUAAUUAAAAAAAAAAAUCAAAGUCUUUAUGAAACAACACUUAGACGUGCGUUCUGAAGAAGCAUUCAGAAAGUGCUUUUACGAGCCACAAUUACUUUUAAAUUUUUAUUUUUUUGUCAUAGCAGUAACUAAACAAUUUUAUUUGUCAAAAGAACACUUAUAGGCUUUUAGCUCUUUCUAAACUCCUAGUCUCAAAGAGGCCAUGUUGGAUAUUCUCACGCACCAAAUCUUCUUAGUGGGUCCAUAGCUCUCAUCACUGUAAUCUUUUGCAACUUGCAUUAUGGUACAGAAAAAUGGGCAUUUUGCCUACAUGGCCAUAUAGUAUUCUCCACCCAAAACAAGAACCCAAAAAAAACAAAUGAAGCAUAUAUAUUACUACUGAUGUUAUUGAAUUAAUGUGAUUAAUACCAGAAUUUGUCGUAAUCUUGGGGCCAAAGUUGGCGAAAAUGGUCAACUGGUGAGCCAACAAUAGUGAAACCCUCCGACCACAUGAGCUUCUUAAAAAAAGAAGAUAUCCGAGCAAAACCAUAGCCGGAAAUGCCAUCUGGCGAUCGGGCAGCUUUGAGCUUCUGCUGGACUGGUAGAGAGAAAAGGCUUUUGCCUGCGGAUUCAAUGUCAUCAAGAAGCUUCUGUUGGAUGCCAUGGUUAGUGACUUGGAAGACUCCCCAAGUCUUACAUGCAUGGCCUGUGAGCUUAAGAACAUUGGUGUCAGAGAGAUUGAUGACCGGAACAGAAUCGUCUGCCCCAAAUGAGGUUAGGAAAGAUGGGUAGUGAUCAUCAUUGUUUGUCCAUGCAUAGGAGUCUGGCAAUUCAUGUAAUGAGUUGAAAUCUGGGUGUUUGAGUUGGAGGUUGACAGGGUGGGAUUUGAAGGCAUCAGAAAGUUUUAAAUGCAUAUUGAUAAGUAGAGUUUUUGUGUUCAACUGGAAAGAGAGAGAUGGGGGCUGUGUUUUGUGUGGUUAGAAGAAAAUUAAGGGCGUUCUGAAGAUUUUGGAGAUAGGGUUAGAAACAAGUAUAAUGGUGGUAGUACUUGUUGCUUGAAAACAUAGAAUGAUGAUAUAAAAGAAAGAUAAGGUUUAGUGAGUAUAUAUAGAGAUGGCGGACAAGAUAGUGACAUGUUGCCCAAGCCCUCCACCCCAAAACAGAGUGAUAUUUUUUUUUUUUUUUUUUUUUUUUGUUCAAACCAUAUAUUUAUUAAAUUAGAUAUUAGAUUAGGGAGGCAAUUGGGUUUAAACCACACCAUGAUGCAAGGACAACGUUGCUCUUCAUCACUGGGGUAGAGGGCCACUUGCAAUAGAGUGGUAUGUUUGGAAAGCUAAAACCAAAAUAUAAUUUCAUGUGCUUAGAAGUUUCAAGAAAAUUACUACAUGUAUUUCUUCUUUUUAUUAAUUUUUAUUUGAAGAGUUCACGCAUUUAUUUGUAGAAUACAGGGCUAACUAUAUUUUACAACUUCAAAGUUUGAGGUGAUUUUUAAAUUGAACCAUGAGGUUUUAAUUUUCUCAUAUUACCCUCUAAGAUUUUGAAAUUAUAGCAAUUUACACCUUUCCUAUAUUUGAACAUCUAGUUAUGCAUUAAACUGAUGAGUUUUUUAGGUUAUGUGGUGCAAAUAUAGCGUACAUGUUAACCCAGUUAAGGGUUUUAUGUUCAUCAUGUCAUCAAUUUAAUGAAGAUUCAAAUAAUUUAUGAGUCAAAGGUAUAAAUUGAUACAAUUUCAAAACUUUAAGAGGCAAUAUGAGCAAAUUGAAACCUCGCGAUCCAUUUUGAAAAUCAUCCCAAACAUAAAGGGUGGGAAAUAUAGUUAGCCCUAAGAUAUAAAUAUCAUCACUCUAUCAACAACUAGUUUGGUGGGUUACGUGCUUCAAAUAUGCCCUUGUACCAACAAAGCUAUUGAUAUGUUUCUGGAAAAUUAAACAAGUUCACGCAUUGUCUUAAUUAGUUCCUUUAUCUCUCUUUUUUUGGGUAGAAAGCUCAUCUAUCUCUUUAGUACGUAAUUGUUUGGUUAGUGUUUAAUUGCGUCUCUCUUUAGUACUUAAUUGCCCUUCCCAUAUGAAUUAAUAAGUGGAAUCAAUCAAGUUAUCUAUUAGUUUGUGUUUUCUUUUCCAUUUCUCUUUCAAACUUUUAUGUUAAUCUUUAUCCUUCAGUAAAGUAAUGUGUCCCAGUUGAGAGAGAUAUGACAAGUUGAGUGUGUGAAGACAGAUUCUACUGUGCAAUUAGGAAUAUACUGUUUUGUUUUCAUAUUAUUUUUAUAUAUCAUCACGGACGUGAAAUAUAAUUAUAUAUAUAUAUAUAUAUAUAUUUAAAAUUAACUAGAGAAAUAUAGUGUGGUGAAGAGGGUGUUCGUUUUGUAUCAAGGUUUCAUUGUUAGCUGAGUAGUGAGGAAGGGAACAAAAAUGUAUAUAAAGGAGAGGGUAAGGUAUGUCCAUUGGACAGGGGAAAGAACAAAAAUGAAAAGGACCAUGUUGUCUUUACAAUAAGGGAAUUGAGAGGCAUAGUACCCUCUCAAACCAAAGAAGUUUUGAGGAGAAGAGGGGACACUUCCACUCUCCAUGUGCCCUUGUCUUGUCCUCAAUUAGAAAAACAUCUUAAUCAACACACCUCCUCCUCUCAAUCUUAGUCCUAAUCUCCUUUCACAACAGAACAACCCCAUUAUACAUGACCAAAUUGCCCCUUUUUGACAGUGAUGAACCAACAGGUUUUCGUUUUAGAGUUCUCUUGUCAUUAAGGCAUCCAUAUAUAUAACUAUAUAUGCAAGAAGACAAUUAGUAGUGUACACGGUUUCUCUACUACAUUUAACAGUUUCCGCAACGAAGGACACUUGGUCGUGCAAAGAGAAAUUCCGUUGCAUAAGAAAUUAGGCGACAAAAUCUUCAUUGUGCAGCAAUCGUCGCGCAAAGGUCAUGAAAAAAGACACUGCGUGACGAAAUUAUGAAAUUCGUCACUCAACAAAGGACUGAGCGAUGAAAUAAAGGUUCGUCAGGGUGCUGGCCUUGUUCCGGGUGGAAGGGUUUGGAGGUGAACGGGAUAACACCUGGUGGGAGACGGAUGCUAAACAAACUGGGAGCCUGUACGAUCAGCGACAUCUGACACUUGGUGGGAAUCAUACGGAAGGGAAAAAUCUUGGCUACGGACUUUUACCACUUGUAGCAGACUCUGUCAAGUUGAAAUUUUCAUAAUAAAAUUUUGUAACACAUGUUACGCUUUAAUUGAAUAAUGCAUCCCUUUUCAAUUUUCCUCUCCAACGAGAAGGGUGAUUAUGUCUGCCAAAUACAAUCAAGGGUGGAAAAUGGAAAUUAAAUUAAUUCUCCAUUGCUAUCACUUGUAUCAUUGGUCAUUUCCAAGAAAAGUAGUAAAGGCUCUUUUGGUUUUACAUUGGCAAUUUGUUUGCCCCAAAUGACUCCAAUGAGCUCCUAAUGUCCAACGCUAACAAACAUAUUUGGGGGUUUUUCAAAACAAACGUUUAAUGGGUCUUUUUGUUUUGGUUUCAAAUCACUCGUCCCUUGGUUUAUAGUUUAGGGUGGUGAUCUUCACACUCAAUUUUACUUAUCACGCACUCCUUUCAAUAUUCAGUUGUCGAAUCAAAUGAAUUGAAAAUGAUCAAUGUACAAAAAUUAACAAAGAUAUGUGAAAUGUAAAAAAUAAAAAUAAAAAUAAAGUGUGUGAAUAUUAUAGCCUACGGUUUACACUUUAAUUUUUCCAUGGCAAGUUGGGAAAGUUCUUGUUUCUCUUUCUGUUCCUUUUUUUAUAUUUAUUUAUUUAUUUUUGUGGUUGUUAUUGAGGCACAAUAGAAAUCGAGAUCUUUUUAUUAUGAUGCCAUAUGAGUAAUGCUUCCCAACCCUAUCUUUUGCCAUCUCUAAUGUCUCAUGAGAGAUGAACAUAAAUAUCAUGCAUGGGACAUGUGCUCGUGAGUUCACCACCACAUGCAUAUAUAAACUCAUUCUGCAUGCAUGUGCAGAUCUCGUGCUACAAACAUGGCAAGGUCGGGUCGUUAUACGCGACGGUCACCAAAAAUAAUUGAUUCAGAAAGGUUCAAUAAUAAAUAUUACUAGAGAAACUUCCUCCAGUUGUUUUAGAAGUUGGAGAGGGUUCAAAAUUCAAUUUAUUUCUUCUUUUAUAUGUGUGUGUGUAUAGAUAGAUAUGUCAACGGUUAGGAGUAAGAUUCUAUUCCCUCCCAUAGUCUUGAAAGGUUUCAUUCAUUUGGUUUAUAUAUCUUUGUCUUAUUACAGAGGCACAAAAUAUGAAAUGUUGAACAAAGCAAAAACAGAUUUUGUCUCAAAAUAAAGUGGCAAUUACCAUUGCCAUACCAUGCCAACCGAACAUUUGGCAAUACCAAACUUCGGUAUACCGAAAGUUUGGUAUGGUAAUGGUAAUAGAUUUUACCAAACCGAAAAUUUGGUACGGUAAUUGGUACGAGGGUUUUGGUACGGUAACCGUACCGAACCCACCCCUAGUUAUAUAUAGCAAACAGUUAGGCUCAUUCCUAAUAAAAGUAAAAUGAUUGAUUACGCAGCAGUUCCAAAUAAAGACCCUCUUUCUGCUUUCUAAAAUUCCUGUUUUAAAAUAAUUUAGAACUACAGUUUAAUGAUAUUAUUCUUUACUCGUAAAUAAGAGAUAUUAAGUUUGAUUCACUAAUAAUUGAUUACCCAGCAUAAGACUUAAUCCUCUUCCCUACCCUUUUAGUCCAGAUACUAUCGUUGGUUCAUAACAAAUAAAUUUCUCUUUUAAAAAAAUAGCUAUCGGUUCUGUGAGGGGAGGCCUAUAUAAUUAAGAAAACUCUCAUUAUCAACCAUCUCACAAGAAAUCAUACUGACAUCUCGUCAAUUAACUUCAGUAAUUGAUUCGUAAAACUAAGGUAGCUCCAGUCAUUACUAGUUUUCUACAUUUAAGAUUUAUAUACCGUCCCCCUUUCAUUUAUUGUUCUAAUUUCAAUCCAAUUGGGAAAAGAUUAAUUGGUAGUGCAUGCUUGAUGGAGAUGGAAACACUGCCGUAAGUUACUAUUAAUUUGUCUUAUAAAAUUUUGCCCGACGAAAAUAGUACUUUCGUCCGACUAAACACCUUUACUCGACAUAUUACAAAGGUUCGUCGGGCAAAAGAGUCAAUGUAUUGGCUUCUUCAAAGGCUUUUGCCUGACGAAUACUAUUUGACAGGCAAAAUUUUUGUCAUCGGGUUAAGUUUUCGCGCAAAGGUAUAUUUUAUGAUUUAGAUUUUAGGCUUCAAGGUUUAUAAUUCGUAGGGUCGGGCAAAGUUCAGGGACAUGAUUGGCAUAUUCAAUUCUUUCGAUGAUUUUCGCAAUUUGCAAAAUUAAUUUCAACAAUCAAACCGUCAAACUUGUUUUUAUAUACUCUGGAUUACAUUUGCCAACAAUAAAAAAAUGAAAAAACUUUCGGGGGUUAGGUAACAGGACAAAAUUAUUCGACAGUUAGAAACGAAAAAUCAUGAUUUAACAGUUAAUUUAGGUUCAAUUUUGAUGACUUUUAACAACUACACUCCUCAACCCUAGAAGAAUACAAUGAACGAACCCGCUCAUCAAUUUAAAAUAUAUACACUAGUGGAUACCACAAAAUCUUACAUUCCACUUGAUGGAAGUAUAGAAUAAACUCUAAGUGUUUGUUGAAUCAAUUGUUUUGACUGGAUACGCAAUACGAAACUAGUUUCAAUGAUACAACAUGUGGAGCAAAAAAUAAUCCCAAAAGUCAUGGAGAUGACACAUGGAUUUUUGGGUAAGAAGGAUGAGAUUACCCUCAACCCACGUGCAUGCAACGGACAAUAACGACUCAAUCAAGAAAGAGUCAAAGAUGAUCAAUAUGGAAUUUAUUUCAUAUUCCUCUCAUCACUCCUCAUCAAUCCUUUAUUGAUUUAUUCAAAAGAUAACUUCCAAAACUUCCUUUAAAUUAGGAAAAAUUGUCAUGUUAAUUGCAAGAUAUUAUUUCACAUAAUAUCUUGCAAUUAUCAUCCAAAUACACCAUAAAGGAUGGCCACUCCUCACCCUAAGGGCCGGCCACUCUCUUAUAAAUACCCCACUUAUCCCACUAAAAUGUCGAGCCAUUUGCUACCCAUGAACUCCUAAACGUAUUCUUUUCAUAAUUCCAACUUUGGCAUCGGAGAUUCUUCAGCCAAAGCUCCCUCAUUCAUCAUAGGCAUGUGAGGCUUUUGGCCUUAAUCGAAUGUGUUAUUAUUUUACAGGUGCAUUUUCGUCAAAGGAAGAGUUGGCAGAAAUUUGCAUCCACAAAUUGGAGCUUUCAUUGAGAGUUUGAUCACACACUCAAAGAAGACUCUCAUAUUCAAAGUUUCUCAUAUCUCGUUCGUUCGUAAAUUUUUCGUACGUUCUUAUUCCUAGAAUUUUUUAAUUCCUAGAUUUUUUUAAUUCCUUGAAUAGACGUAGGAGAAAAAUACAAUGACGGGAAAUUCGAAAACCACGACGAACGAAACUUUCUACAUUCAUAGAGACCUGGAUCAAAUGAUGGAGAUCCCGAUGUACCCCCACCACGACGAUCCACAAGACACACCACAACAAGAGGAAUAACCUUACCAUCACGAAGCAGCACUACCAUGGUAGCCACGGCAACUAAUGCGGUAGUGGGGAGUGGGACAGCUCUAAGGCAGCUAGGCCACGAAGCAACGGCAAUUGCAGCCCAUAGAGCAGCAGUCCAAUAAGUAGCUGCAGAGUAGCAAGCCAAUGAGGCAGCGGCCCAGGAAGCUGGUACAAUGCAGCCAACCCAAGACCCGCAUACCUAGAACGCCACGCAAGCCCAAGCCGCUCCAAGAGGAGGAAAUGCUCAGUGCCCAUGCGCUCUAAUGGCCCAGCCCACACCCGCGAUCUGACCCGCACCCGGGAUCUAGCCCACUCCCAUGUCCCACCUAGCUGCCCAAUCCAGUCCAAGACCGGUUCAAUUGUCCUAGCUUUAGAUUUCUAAACUGGCUAUUGAACCAAGGGUAUUCUCACCUCGAGUUUUUUCUGAUUUAACCCAUCCUGGCUCAAAUUUUGCACCCGGAGCCCACUACACUUCUACCACCCAAGAGAGAAACUAACCAUCCAAGCUCUUCGAUCCCGCAUGGUGAAAAACAAUUGUCCCGAAAAGUCAUAGAGUUAACAAGCGCCCUCGCACAUCAAACGACCUUAAUGAAUCAACUUUUGCAACGCAUUGAUGUGCAGCGUACUCUAGACGAUGUGUCCCAAAGCAGGACAAGGGCAGACAACGACCCUCUCUAAUAGCUCCCGAUAAGCAGCCUCUCAACCAACCACGAGCCCAGCGUUCUGGCAUUGUAUACUCUCACCUAGGCCCUCAUGAUAGCGUAUACUCUCGUCUCAGCCAGCGGAUAAGCGUGCACUCCCGGUUAGGCCAUGAUAGGAGCAUAUUUAUGCGCCUUAGUUAGCUAGUUCUUAUGCAUUUAUGUUGUGUUUUCUUAGUUAAGUUAGUCUUUUAAGCUAUUUUCAUGUGUUUUCAGGUUUUAAGGACAAAGUAAGCAAAAAGAUGCAAUUUGGAGCAUUUUGGAGCAAAAUUGAGCUAGAAUGGAGCUCAUGCAUGUGGAGCACAAAGAAUGGACGUAUUUGAAGGAUUGAAGAAGCUAGGAAUGUGUUUCAAAGUUGAAGAAUUGAAGAUGCAAAGUUUCCUAAUUGAAGUAGGAAAGUGCCUAAUUGAAGAUGAAAUCCUAGUCAACAAUGGAUUCCUGGUUGAAGAAUGAUUCCUAGUUGAAGUUGGAUUUCUAGAAGAUUAAGGAUUCCUACUCAAACAAGGUUUCCUACUUGAAGAAGGAAAGUUAAAAGCCAAAGAAUCAGCUCAAGUGAAGAAACCUUAUCCAAAACAUUAUCCAUAACCUUAUCCUAUCCUAUCUUAUCCUAAUCCUAAUCUACCUAUAUUUCAGCUACAAAAGGGAUUUCUUUUCCUAUUUGGAGACUUAAAACCUGAUUUGUAGAAGCCUUAUCCCUUCCUACAAAGGUGCCACACCUUAUCCCUUGUUUUUCUAGAAAUCAGCCACAAAACAACCUUUCUAGAAGGCCUUAUCCCUUGUCCUACAAAAGUGACGCCCCAAACCUUUCUAGAACUUCUAGAAACCUGAUUAUUCCUUUCCCCCUUGGUUUCUAAAAGCCUUAGCCUUUUCCUUCAAGGAUUGUGUGUUAUUAUCCUAUACAAAUUGGGCCUUUCAAUCCUUUUCCUUUGCUACAUAGGGGCUGCGAAUUUCAGCCUAUAAAUACCAUCCUUUGCUGCACCAUUUAGUCACCACCCUCUACCAUAUUUUCACUACACCGUUCACCCAAACAUCCCUCUUGUGCUGUGAGUUUGCAAAGGAGAAGGAAGGAGACUCUUGGAGCCGUGCAUGUCAUUCAAGGAGCUUGGAUUGUUGGAGCAUUUCUAGGUGUUUUCUAUCUUUAUGUCAAUGUUUAAAUUUAUUUAUCUUUGUUUAUUUGCGAACAUGAGGAACUAAUUCCUUUAUAGUUAGAGGGGAAUUCAAAGCCAUGAUCAUAUGUUUUAUAUGACUUGAUUUCCUCCAGUUAUGAUUUCAUAAAUCCUGAAUGUGGUUUACGUAUCUAUUUGAUUGAUAACAUGUUUAUGUAUGUUGAUUGAGGGUCGACACUUAGUUUGCAUGCAUGAAUUUGAUGCUAGAGUAUAAGGGAAUUUCACCUAAUCGUUAUUAACUUAUAUUCAUAAGUAGUAAAAGUUGCUAGUCACGAUUGUGUUAAGUAAAUCCUUGGCAAGAGUAACAUGCGUAUUCCAUAGUUAUGAAUGCCUCGUCAAUGCUUAUGAUUUCCAUUGAACUUAAUGAUCUUUGAUAUGUGUCUCUAUCAUGCGUAUUCCAUAGUUAGGGUCCUUGAUAAGAAUAAUUUGGUUGUAAUGCGUAUUCCAUUCAAUUCAAUGAAUCUAGGGAAAUUUGAUAAUUAAUUGGUGCAAUCUAGUUAAUUUGGGGCAUUGUCAUUCAUGGUUUGUUGAAAGAGUAACUGGAAAUCGAGUCGUAUGCAUAUGUUUCAUGUGUGGAGAAGGAACCCUCUAACUAGCCUUUCACCAUUCUAUUUCAUCAAUUUCGUGAGUCUUUAAGUUUGUUUACAAAGUUUAUGUUUUAAAAGUUCAAAUUCGUCAAAACCAAACCCCUUGCUUUUAAGUCUUGUUUUUAGAGUCAAAACUUGUUUCCUUUAAGUCUUUUGAGUCUUUGAAGUUCUAUUUUCGUCCAAAUCAAUUGUAGGUCUAGAAUUGAGUCUUUUUUAUUGUUAUUUGUUGUUUUGAGUGUUUUAAGUUAGUUUUGAGUUUAUAAAGUCUAGUUUAGUGUUUUUUAUCUUAUAUUUGUUGAUUAGCAUCCCUAGUUAAUCCCCGGUCUAGAACGAUCCCUACUUGCAUCAUUACUACAAUUGUCAUCAAUAGGGUUUAAUUUGUGUGUCAACUUAAUUUUCACAUCAGGCCAACGGACGAACAUACAUUCACGGUUAACACUCUGAUACCACCUCACAUCGAAGUAGGCAUCGCAGCAGACGGAGAGAAGCAAUCACUCAAUCUGGUUGAAGUUUAAUUGGCAGCCUGCAAGUAACCCGCUCCCCUGCCAUGAACGUACCACAUGUACCGUAACCAUGACAUAGACGAACCGAACACAGGGAAGAGCAGCCUAGACCAACAGGUCACUACUGGAGGUAGUCGGAAGCUCUACUGCCCCUACAGAGGCAAACUCAAGAAGAAGUUAAGAAACUACUAACCGAACAAUUGCGUGAUUUCCAGCUCAAAAAACUACUAAUAAGGCGCUUCGACGAGACGUGACCAACAUAAGCAGGUCACCUCUCAAUAACAAGAUCGAGCAGAACCAUCACACAUACACUGGCGGAUACAAAGAUUACUUCUGUUCCGACAAAUGCAACAACUUAGCCUAAUGGCGCACUGGGGGCAGACGAGUACCAGAAGGACACACAGCCUAAACUGAGGGCAUGUCUUGUUCUCAUCACUCUAAAAGAUUCAAUAAUGAAGUAGCACAUCACUUGUAGUGGAGCAUCGUAGACCUAAUGGUCCAAUUCCUCAAACUAUGCACAACCUGGCCAAGCCAACCCCAGAUCCGUGCUCACAGCAGUGCUAACCUACUCCACCAUUUCCAGCAGCCAUUGAUCUGUCACCAUGGCUCUUAACUAUGUCGAUCUUAUACCACAGCUCCUAGCUCCUAAUCGCGCUGACCAAGCCCGUGGCACUCCAACCUUCAAAUCAUUCAACAACAGAGUAUAAGAGAAGGCUUUAUUAGCAGCACCUGCUAUCGAAAGACUUAGCAGUGAAAAAGCUUGCAAUCCAUUCAGAUUCUCAGUUGAUCACCAACUAAGCCUCAGAAUGGCACACGACGAAACAUCUAAUGAUGGCACAAUACUUGAAGAAAGUUUAGAAGUAGAUCAUUGAUCUUCCCACUUACACCCUUAUGUGGGUUCCACAAGCAGUUUGAAGUCUUAAGCAUAUCGUCAAACAAGACCUCACAUGCUAAGGAUUAUUUUAGUUUAGAAGUCUAGUUUUCCUCAUCAGCGCUCACAAGAACGACUUUCAUGCUCUCCAAUGCGAGUGGGUAAACUAAUUUCCUUACACCCAUAUGGGUAUGCUCUCCAGUGUGAGAGGGUAAACUAAUUGCUUUUCCGUGCGAGAGGGUAAACCAAUCCCUCAACACCCAUCUAGGUAAGCUCUCCAGUGCGAGAGGGUAAACUAAUUGCUUUUAAGUGCGAGAGGGUAAACUAAUUCCCCAACACCCAUCUGGGUAUGCUCUCAAUUGCAAAAGGGUAAACUAAUUUAUCUCCUGUGCGAAAUGGUAAACUAAUUCCCCGACACCCAUCUGGGUAAGCUCUCCAGUGCGAAAGGGUAAACUAAUUACUCUCUAGUGCGAAAGGGUAAACUAAUUCCCCGACACCCAUUUGGGUGUGAUCUCUAAUGCGAGAAGGUAAACCAAUCCCCCGACACUCAUCUAGGUAAGUUCUCCAAUGCAAGAGGGUAAACUAAUUGCUCUCCAGUGUGAGAGGGUAAACCAAUUCCCCAACACCUAUCUGGGUAAGCUCUCCAAUGCGAGAGGGUAAACUAAUUGCUCUCCAGUGUGAGAGGAUAAACCAAUUUCCUGACACCCAUAUGGGUUUGCUCUCUAGUGCGAGAGGAUAAACUAAUUCUUCGACACCCAUUUGGGUCUAUUCUUCAGCGAAAUGGGGCAAACUGCUUAUGAAUUUCCACACAACUACUUAUUUUAUUGUGAUUAGUUAACAAUUUUCAUAUUCCAUAAAUCUUUAUCAUGCUAUGAUUCAGGUCACACAGCUCAAAAGAUCGAAUACUCAAAGACCGGCUAAGCAGCAAAUGGUCAGAGGGCAUCAACCGAUGACGAAAACAAUAGCUUGAUGCCUAAAAAGCCAAAAUCACGGCCAUAAUGACUUUGUGGAAUCAUGAACUUUUUUCGGGGCAGCAAGCCUAAUCGACGAUUCUAUGGCUAAAAGUUUUGCAAGAUGCUUAAAGCAAGCAAAGUUUCAAGAAAAACAAAGAUGGAGUAAAGCAAAGAAAGCAAUUUAUUUAUAGCAAAUUGAUAAACUUAUACGAAGGUCGUCAAAAUCUGACACAAACUAAAUAAAGCAUACUUUGGCAGCUUGGAUGACCUUGGGCUCUCUAGCAACCAUCCUGCCAUCAACAGCCAUUUCCCACUCAACAAUUUUCCUAUCUGACACUUCAUCUUCAACAACUCUAAUCUUCGUAGCUUCAUUUACGAUUGCUCCAUUUACAGCAGUUGAGGAAUCAAACUUAAGCAGUUUCCUCUUUCUUGACAAGCAGCACAGCCAUGGCUGCCCAAACUAUGACCCAUGUCAUGCCACUUUUUCGACCCAUGUCGAGCCAACCUCUGGCUCCAGCCAAGCUAUGACCCUUGCCACACCACCUCAUCAGCUUAUACUGAGUUGAUUCUUGGCCACUACUAGCCGACAACACAAUCCAAGAAGAAGACAAAGAAAAUCAAGUUUUUCUUACCCUUGUGUAGCGUGGAGAAGACAAAGAAAUAAACGGAAGACGAUUCUUUGCACGGGCAAGCGAAGAAGAAUGCUAGGGAAGGGGGAACAAAUAUCCUUUAGCUUUCUCUCUUUCUUGUAGAGAUAAAUAAUUGCCCUUGGAAGUUGAUUUAAUCCCUUACUUAAGGUAGGCUUAAAUAGGUUUUGGUGGUGAUUUAUUUUCCUUUCCAAGAAGAAUCUAAUUCCAAAUCUAAGUGGGAAUCUGCAUCAAAGUUAGAGAUCUCUACACCUAUUGCCCUUUCUAAUGAGCAGCCCAGCAAGUGUUGGGCAUUUGUAGAGCCAAAAAUAAUCCCAAAAAUUGUAGAGAUGGCACAUGGAUUUUUGGAUAAGAAUGACGAGAUUACCCUUCAGGCACAUCGGAAUUCCCAUGCACAUGCAACUGACAAUAACGGCUCAAUUAAGGAAGAGUCAAUGGGGUUUAAUAUGGAAUUUAUUUCAUAUUCCUCUCAUCAUUCCUCAUCAAUCCCUUAUUGAUUGUAUUCAAAAGGUAACUUCCAAAACUCCCUAUUUAAAUUUGAAAUAAUUGCCAUGUUAAUUGCAAGAUAUUAUUUCACAUAAUAUCUUGCAAUUUUCACCCAAAUACACCAUAAAGGGCUAGCCACUCCUCACCCUAAGGGCUAGCCACUCUCUUAUAAAUACCCCACUUAUCCCACUAAAAUAUCGAGCCAUUUGCUACCGACGAACUCCUAAACGCAUUCUUUUCAAAAUUUUAACUUUCGCAUCGGAAAUUCUUCACUCAAAGACUCCCCCCCAUUCAUUAUGGGCACAUGAUGCUUUUGGCCUUAAUCAAAGGUAAUUAUUUUACAGGUACAUUUUUGUCAAACGAAGAGAUUGCGUAAAUUUGCAUCCACACAACCAUGAAACUUGUUUGCUAUUGUAUAUGCCAAAAAUCAUUAAAAAAAACAAACUUUUAUGGAUUAGGUAACGGGACGAAAUCAUUUGACAGUUAGAAAUUAAAAAUCAUGAUUUAACAGUUCUUUUAGAUCUGAUUGUGAUGAUUUUUUUAAGGAUGCUAAUUGAGAGUAAAAUCAUUGAUUAGAAGGACCUGAUCAUCAAAUUGGAUGAUGUUUAACUGUUUGAAAUUAAAUUAAAAAUAAGAAAAAAUAAAAUUUUGAGGGUUUCUCAACAUAUAUGUGGUUUUCGUCUGGCAAACGUAAAAAUUUUCCUUCACUUUUUUCCAAAGUCAAAUUUCCCCAAAUAAAGGGUUUGCCCAACUUGUUCACAACUGAAGACACCACGAGCCUGUGCCAGCCUCAGUCCAUCCUGCUGAUGUCGUAGAGGCUGAUUCAGCGGUUGUACGCUUAGAGAGAGACAAAGAACUGCCAACCUAGAAGAAGAGCAAAGUGCGGGGAAUUUGUAGAGGCUUGGCUUCUAACUGGAUCACCCACUUAUUGCAAGACCGGAUCGUCAUUGAUUACAACCCACUCCAUCAACGAGCGAGCCCCAAAUUCAACUUGUUUACUCACAACAUGGGUAUCAUCUGCAUUAAGUACCCCAUGGUCAUCUUUUUAGUGAAGAAGCUCUCCCACAUGGUAUAUGAAGAGAUGAAGAGACAAAUUUUGGGAAGUGUGAUUUUUUUUAAUUUAUUCUUAUUUUUUUUACUUUCACUUUUUAAUUUUUUUUAAAACUAAUACACUUGUUUUUAUUUUUAUUUUUUUGCCUAUUUAAACCAACUUCUCCAUGGAGCACCUGAGUACAAAAUAGUACAUAAACCGAGUGUGGACUAAGAGUAUAAAAACUGGAAGUACGAGCUGUACAUGUACUACAAGACCUAUGCAACUCCUGAUGAAGGUCCUACAGAUCCACCCCUGUAGUUUAAGGAGAGGAUUGGUAAGAGAGAAUGCUUGUGUGGUCAUUUUUAAAGACUGACAUUUCUGGUAAGUUUUUUUUUUUUUAAUAAUUUUAAUUCCAUUUUUUCAUAUAUUUAAGUUUUUUUUUUUUUUUACUUUAAUUAAUUUUUUUUAUUUUACAGCAUAAAUCAAUAGCAAAUAAGGUAAAGGGGAAGUAGAAUCGUAGCUUCAGCAUUCCGAUUUUCGACCCCUAUCUUUCCGGGUUGAGGAACGGUGUGCGCAGGGCUUGGUUUUCCCGAAAUUGAAGGCUUGAAAGGGAUACACAUGUCAAUUAUGGCAACUAGGUGGCUAAUGACAUUUAUGUAAGUAUUCCGUUCAAAGUUUUAAUUUCAAAUUUCAUUACGCUUAAAAAUAUUUAAAUUAUGAUUGGUAAUCAUAAUUGGUUUCUUUUUUGUAGGCCUCUAUGUCACGGAUGAAAGAUGAGUACUUUGCCUACCUGUCACAGCAGCAACCAAAAAUAGCCAAUGGAGGAGUUAAAAUUUGAUUCAAAUGUGUCUCUACAGUUUUUUAUAAACAAUGACACACCCCGACCUAAAUCGAGGCAUGCUGGGCGUCACGUGAAGGUGACGUAGCCAUGUGCAUAGUGCGGAAGAAUAACAAUACAAAGAAAUGCGAAUAAAUAAAAACCAAAUUGACUAAAACACUAGAUAGGAUAAGUUGAAAGGCGAGAAUAAGUGUGACUACACAUAACCAGAGCGUAGGUAUCCAAAGUGCAGUCCAACAGGAAAAAUACUAAUUAUACAAUACCAAAAAUGAUCCUACAUUGGUGAUAAUCUAUCAGAACCGCCGACGAUUCCUCGUAAGCCACCAACAAGCACUCCUAACUAGAACUUGGAGGGGUGCAAAAUAGAAAGUGUAAGUGGGCAAAAACAAAGCUUUUCAAAACCGUUCAUUUUGAAAAGUAAAUAACCCUUCGCUGUAAAACCUAUAUAAUUCCCAGAAAAUAGCAUGCACGAUUAUAUCUCAAAAUCAUAUUCAAAAUAGCAAAUCCACCGAAUAUACCAUGUCAAAUCUCAGAAAGAAAUAAGUAAGCCAGAUGAAAUAAAUCAAUAUGAUAUAGUAUGCGAGCCGGAGUCACAUAGCGUGACCUGUACGGCUAAGUUUAUAGCUCCUCAACUAGUUCUCUGCACACGAGUCUGAACCACCUAAUAUGGUCUGUACGAGAGGCUGGGUGUAAAUAAAUACGCUCAAGUGCUACGAUCACGUGAAGGCUGUGCGAAGUAUCGCAAUUCACCUAUGAGUCGAAACCACCUAAUAUGGUUUGUACGAUAGGCUAACACCUGCCUUGGAUCCAAGGUGAGCAUGUGGUGCGGGAGGUGAACGAUCACGUGAAGGCUAGGCUGAUCGGAUCAUAUUUAUAUAUAUUUUUACUUCAAAUUCACUCGUCUUUUCUUAGUUAGUUCCUUAUAUUUUGAGCUAUUUACGUUAUUUUUGUGUUUAUAGGAUUUGUUUAUGCAAAGAAAAUAAAAAUGGCACAAAUGAGUUUUAAAUAAUAAAUUCAUCGAAAAUUGCUUUAGUCGUUCUCAUUUUGUCACGGAUUAUAGGUCAUGGAAGUUAGGCUAAAUUUAUUAGAUAUGCAUUAGAAAUUAUAUGGCAUUAGAAAUUAUAUGAUAUAUCUAAAAUUGAAGUGUUUUGCAGUUGGUGAGUAAAGAAAAGAAACAUAAAGAAGCUGCCUUUGCAGCUGGAACAAAUGGAAAAAAAAAGGAAUCCAAGAGACAGCAAAACGUGAAAGAAUAAAAUAAGGGAAGCUGCCUUUGGGCAGUGGAAAAAUAAGAAGAAAAAGGAGAAUCCAAGGCAUGAGACACGGGGGAAUAAUAGUGGAACAAAAAGAAUGGCAGAAAAUAAAGAUAGACUUGCGGAGAGACAGGUGGGCUGUCUGUGACGAAAAAGAAAUAGCUGCGUGGGCAACUGUGUGAUGACAGUCAAAAGCUAGGGUGAAAGCUGCUUUGCAGCUGGUCAAAGGGAAUAAAAAUAAGCUGGAAAAGUGGAGGGUAGCCUGGCUGCCAAAGUGAAAGACAUGCGCAUAAUAAAAGAAACAGAAAGCACUGCACAGGGGGGGUCUGGGAGCGGUAGAAGGGAGCUGCCCUUUGGGCAGCUCGCAGAGACGCAGGAAGGAGGCUGCCUUUGGGCAGCGUGGAAAACCAGAAAAAUAAGAGAGAGGUCAGCACGGGAAGAGAGGUCAGUACGGGAGAGAGAGGAUAGACGGGAGGCGCGAGUGAGAAGGAGCUUAGCUGGCCUUGCAGCUUUGAAAAACGAAAAAAAAACAGAAACGAAAGAGGAGAGACCGGGGGGGUGUCAGGGAGAACCAAAGGCAGACAGCUGCCUUGCGGCAGCAGAUAGCACGGACAGAAGAGAGAGGCAGGGCGCAGCAAUUAAGGAGCGUGCAGAAAAUAAGAGAGGGAACGCGGAAAGGAAAGAAAAGAGGGGUGUCAGUGAGCACAGCGCCAGGAGGUCAGACGGCAGCAGAAGAAGAAAGGGUUGUAUAUUUUCUCAAACUCAUAUUUUGCUUUUGGUUUAAUUUGAAAAUAAUGUGUAAAUAAAUUUAUUUUGGCUAGAGGUUAAUUCAAAGCCAUGAAUAUAUUUGUAAUAUGAAUUGAUUACCUUCAGUUGUGAGUUAUAAGUUGUGAAUUCAAUUUACUUAUCCGUUCGUAUAAAAACUGAUUUGUGUAUGUUGGUUGAGAGUGCACGCUUAAUUUACAUGCAUGAAUUUGAUGCUAGAAUAUAAGUGAAUUUCACCUAAUCGUUAUGAACUUAUUUUCACAAGUAGUAAAGGUUGCUAGUCACAAUCACGUUAAGUAAAUUCUUGGCAAGAGUAUCAUGCUUUUCAUAGUUACGAAUGCCUCGUCAAUGCUUAUAGUUUUCACAAAGUUUAAUGAUCUUUGAUUGUAUCUCUAUUGUGCUUUUCACGUAGGGACUUUUGAAGAAUGUUUUGAAUUGUUGUAUGCGUUUUUCCCGUCCAAUUCAAUAACUUAAGGAAAACUUGAAGAUUAAAAAAAGUGCUGUUCACGGUUAAUCUGGAGUAUUGAAAUUCACAAUUUAUUAAAUGAACAACUGGAAAUCAUUUUGUAUGCAAGUAUAACAUGUGUGGAGAAGAACCCUCUAGCUAGUCCGUCAUUUAUCAUUUUACCUUAAUUUUAUGUUUUUGUCAAUUCUGUAAUUUAAUUAAGUUUAAUUUACUUUUCAUCAAAACCAAACACCCAUCCAUUAUUAAAUUAUAUUAUUUAGUUAGUUUUCAUUGUUGUUAGUCUUUUAAUUCAAUUUCCGUCCAUUUCAGUUCCUAGUGUCUAAUUUGAUUGUUUUCAUUAUUUUGAGUUAUCCUAAGUGUGUUUCGAGUUAUUAGAGUUUUUAGCCUAGUUUUGUGUCCUUGAGUCUUAUUUAAUAUUUUUAAAUUAAUUUAGAAUAGAUUAGCAAUCCCUCCUAAUCCCCGGCCUAGAACGAUACCCUACUUACAUACUUUACUACAAUUGUCAAAAAGAGGGUUUAAUUUGUGUGUUAACUUAUUUUACGCAUCAAAUUUUGGCGCCGUUGCCGGGGAUUAGUAACUUUGCUAAUCCUUUUAUUUUUGUUUUUGUUUAUGUUUAUAUUGGUGUUUGUGUAUUUUACUUUUGAUAUUUGAUUUAUUUUUCUUUCUUUGAUUUUAGGCACAAAUGGAGCUGAGGGAAAUUUAAAGGAAAGAUGCGUCCGGCUAAAGACGUUAAAUCAAGCGCUUCUUGGGAGGCAACCCAAGCAUUCAACGAAGGGAGACUUUGGAAUCGCUAACCCAAUCAGCUUUGCAUUCUUCCACCCUUAUCUUUACUGCUUUCAUUUUGUUUUGUUUAGUUAGUUGUGUUAUUUGGUUGAUUUCUGUGAGUUUGUGUUUGUGUUAUUUAGUUUAAGUGUGGGGGAAGGUUAACCAAAGUCUCUUUACAUUAAUUUACAUUUAAAAAAAAAAAAAAGAUAAAAUUUAAAAUUAAUAAAAAAAAAAAAAAUAAAAAAAAAAAAAAAAAAUAAAAAAAACAUAAAAAAAAAAAAAAAAAAAAAAAAAAAAAAAAAAAAAAAAAAAAAAAAAAAAAAAAAAAAAAUGCAAAUAUUUUACAAUAAUGUAAACUAAUAGUAUUCAUUGGUCGGGUGGUGCUUCAGUAGUGGGCGGGGCUUCAGCAGUCGGCGGGGCCACAGAAGGAGGAGGCAGCAGAGGUUGAUCAGUUGGAGCUUCACUACGCGGUGCCGCUCCAGAAGACGAAGGCAGAUGUUGUUGGAACAAACCCACAAACCUCCGAUGAUCAAGUAAAAUUUGACCAUCGGUGUCCUGCAUCUGGUCAAUCUUCCUCUUCAUGCUGGUGGCAUAGCUGUGUGCGAGCUUGUGCAAUUCCUUAUUCUCAUGCUUGAGCCCUUUAAUCUCUUGCUUGAGACUCUGUAUUUCAGCCACCAAGGAUUCAACGUGACGGGUUCGGGCAUAUAGGCGUUGGGCCAUGUUGGAUACGGAACCCGCACACUGCACACUGAGAGCCAGAGACUCCUUGACCGCCAAUUCAUCAGACCGCCUUGCGAGCAGUCUGUUAUCUCUGGGGGGGGUGACAAGGUUUCGGGCCACCACCGCAGCUGUCAUAUCAUUUUUUAUCACCGAAUCCCCCACGGUAAGGGGACCGGUAGGGGAUAUGAAGGAUGGCUGCCAUAUGUUGUCUGGUGAAGGCGGAGCUGCCUCUUCACCAAUGUUCAAGUCAAAACGACGAUCAGAAGGGCCAGACAUUUUUCAGAGGUGGUAAAGAAAGAAGAGAGUCGGAAUGAUCAAGAUUAAAACAAGUGCAAGAAGGGAGUGUUUACAGGAGGGUACUCAAGUGUGUUGUGGAACAAAAUUAACGCCUCUAUAAAAAGAAGAAAUCAAAGAGGCGCUCCUCAGAGAGGCGUCCUCUCGCAAAUCGAAGAGUCGGGGCUCCUUUCUCAAAAGCCGGAGUUUUUUCUCAAAAGAGGGGCUCCUUUCUCAAAAGUCGGAUUCUUUUCUCAAAAGAGGCGUUUCAUUUCUUAAAAAUUGGGCUUGCUCAGAAACCACGAGCCGAACCCCGGAUUUCGCAAGAUCAAUUCGUCCAGACGUGUUGUCACCCGUCACACGCAAACUCAGCUCUGCGAAAAUCACGGGCAGUCUGUCGAAGUGCCGAUUCCAACCAUCUGUCUCUCUCAGCCUAGUCAGCACUUGUCACAUGCAACUGGCAGCUUUGCGGAAAUUACGGGCACCUUUGUCAGAAAACGCGUAAUUUGUAUUCUUCACCCAUCCACCGGCUGCCGACACUAAGUGAGAGAACAGUUCCGGUUGUGAAGACAAGUCCUAUAAGUUUCUACCUUCGCCUUCCACAGCAAAAGCACACUCUCUCAGCACACCCUCUCAACACUUCUUCAUCUCCGAAAAUGCAUUCCCAAAGAAUCCUCUCGAGUCACUCUGUGUUCCUCAUUCCUUGGGAUACUCCUGCGAACAACCCAUUCAAAGCAAAAGUAUUUCAUAUCAUAAAGGUUGAAAGCAAGAGUAUCUCAUAUCAUGCUUUCUCCAUGUCCUUCCUUGUCUUUGUUUUCCGACAAGGAGAAAGAGAGCAAUCAGCCAGCAUUUGGUAUCAAUCUUCCAAUCUGGAGCCAACUGCCUGGAACCCCUUCCUGAUUGCUUACCUAGCCUUGCUCUCGAGUACUCAUCUUCAUCAUUUUAUGCUUUCUCUUCGUCUACCACAUCUGCCUGGGGGACAGUAAGGGAAGUGAAAAUGAUACCUCGAAGCAUGUGGAGACAAUUCAGCUAGGGUCAGGGAGAAAGAAAGCAAGAGGUGGGCACUUGGAAAGAUUGAAGAAAGAAAUAAGGACCAACACCUUUCCCUCGUGCCUGCCCGUUGUGCAGAAGAAACAAGCAGAGAAGAAUGCAGCUUGCACAAUCAUCCCAGCGGAAGGAGUCCGAACUGAGGAACUAGAGAAGCUGCCACAUCUGCUUGGAGAACAAAUAAGGAACUGCAACAUAACCAAAGAGCAAAGCUUCGCCGUACAAUAUCAUAAAAUCAUCACUUGCAAGUGAAAAGCUAAGUGUCACCCAGUUCAAGAGGAAAGCUGUGGAAAGUCAACAAGCACGACCAAUGAUUACUUAUUAGUUUUAUUCAUUAUCUUUUAUCGUAAUUUUCAAUUUUUCGUUUGCAAUUUUUUUUUUUUAAUUAAUUUUCUUGCGUUACUUAACUGAAUUAUUUCUUUUCUUUUGCAGGAACUUUUGGUUCUUUCCACCCUUGAAGCUGAUUGCAGAAUUUUAGCUUGGGGGUCAUCGCUUGAUUUUACUUGAUUUUACUGCAAAUUAGGGAAGUUUUCAGUCCAAUUGUUUUAUUUUGUUUCUUAUUAUUUAUUUAUUUUAUUUUUAUUUGCAUUAUAGUGUUUUCUGACAUUGGGGACAAUGUCCAGUUUAAGUGUGUGGGGGUAGAAAUCUCCAGAAUUUCAUUUGUUUCUGUGUUUGUUGUUUUUUUUGUGUUCUUAAUUAGUUUUGUUUUCUUUUAAAAAAAAAUUUAAAUUAAAAAAAAAAAAAUUUCGGAAAAUUUUAAAAAAUAAAAAAUUGUCUUGUUUCCCUUAUUGUUUUGAAUUAGAUUUUUGUUAGUUUCCCGACCCAAUGAUAUAAUUGGAUCAAAUUUGAACCAUGAUCAUCAAGAACUUAGUUAACAUGUGUUUUGUGAAAUUCCUAAUUCUCUUGUUAGUUUUGUACAUGUUUGAUCAUCUUUGAAAAACCAAAUGCACAUAGCCUUGUUAAUGUGAAACUAAAGUAUGACUUAAAGCUUCAUAUGUGAAUUUAGUGACCAUAUACAUCCUAUGUGAGUUUUUGAGCCGAUUGAAAGUGUGUGCAUUUUUCAUACACUCCUAUUCUUUCAUGUGUGAUGAACUUAUGUGAGAUACAUCUCUAGAACUUGCGUAACGAUCUUUCGAAAUGUUUGUCAUCGAUUGCAUGAACUUGGAAAUGAUAGAGGCAUUAGGUUUACCACUAUGGCCCAAAGAACCAUGUUUCCCAAAGAAAAUUGAUAUCAUUAGAUUGCCAAUUUGAGCCGUGUAUGUUGAGCCUUUUAUUUCUUAUCACCAGAUAUGUCUACCCUUAUACCUGAAACAUUUUUCCUUACCCUUUCCAAGCGAGCAAUGUGAGGUUGUCUUAUGAGAAAUGUUUGUAAAGUACUUUGAAGGUGUUUGGCAAAAAAAUAAGUGUGGGGGUAUUUCAUGUUUGUAUUAAAAAAAAAAAAAAAAAAAAAAAAAAGAAAGAAAAAGAAAGAUUGUAUACGAAGAAAAGAAAAAAAAAAUAAUGUUUUUAAAGUUUUCAGUUUAAGGGUGUGAUUGGAGGUUUCAGAAGAAUCGUUGGAAAGAUUGAGUUCUUAUAAAUCUAAACAAAAAGAAUUGCUUGCAAUGUAGCUUGGAACUUGUGUUUUCCUAUUCUUUCGUUUCAAUAACCCUAUCCCUAAGCCUCAUUACAUCCAAUAAAAGUCCUCUUGAUUUUAAGUUUUGCAAUUAUGAUUGUGGAGAUGAGAUCUUUAUGCAAGCUUAUGGUAGAAAUUUCACAUUUGAUUCUUUGAGCAAAACACAUUAAAACUAAACACAUGUGUGAUUCAGUGCAUAUAUCCCGUGAGAAGGUCGCUAGUUUGCAUAUGAUGAUUUUUAAAAAUAAAAACUUGAAAUUGCAUUAGCAUGGCUAUCUCACACACUACACUUCAAGGAUGAUUCAAAGAUUACUGCUAAUAUUUGAAUUAGGAAGAUGAACUUGGAUUAACUUGUUUGGUGCUAGCUAUGGUUCUUGAUGAUUUGUUGUGUUCUCAAAUGAAAUUCUAUGAGGGUCACAUAGAGGGAAGCUAAUGUUUUUCAUGUUAUUACUUUUUCAUAUUUUUUCUUUGUUUUGCUCGAGGACUAGCAAAAGUUAAGUGUGGGGGUAUUUGAUCGGAUCAUAUUUAUAUAUUAUUUUUUACUUCAAAUUCACUCGUCUUUUCUUAGUUAGUUCCUUAUAUUUUGAGCUAUUUACGUUAUUUUUGUGUUUUUAUAGGAUUUGUUUAUGCAAAGAAAAUAAAAAUGGCACAAAUGAGUUUUAAAUAAUAAAUUCAUCGAAAAUUGCUUUAGUCGUUCUUUUGUCACGGAUUAUAGGUCAUAGGAAGUUAGGCUAAAUUUAUUAGAUAUGCAUUAGAAAUUAUAUGGCAUGAAAUUAUAUGAAUAUAUCUAAAAUUGAAGUGUUUUGCAGUUGGUGAGUAAAGAAAAGAAACAUAAAGAAGCUGCCUUUGCAGCUGGAACAAAUGGAAAAAAAAAGGAAUCCAAGAGAUAGCAAAACGUGAAAGAAUAAAAUAAGGGAAGCUGCCUUUGGGCAGUGGAAAAAAUAAGAAGAAAAAAGGAGAAUCCAAGGCAUGAGACACGGGGGAAUAAUAGUGGAACAAAAAGAAUGGCAGAAAAUAAAGAUAAUUGCGGAGAGACAGGUGGGCUGUCACGAAAAGAAUAUAGGUCAUGGAAGUUAGCAAAAUUAGAUAUGCAUUAGAAAUUAUAUGGCAUUUAGAAAUUAUAUGAUAUAUUCUAAAAUUGAAGUGUUUUGCAGUUGGUGAGUAAAGAAAAGAAACAUAAAGCAAGCUGCCUUUGCAGCUGGGAACAAAUGGAAAAAAAAGGAAUCCAAGAGAUAGCAAAACGUGAAAGAAAAAAUAAGGAAGCUGCCUUUGGGCAGUGGAAAAAUAAGAAGAAAAAGGAGAAUCCAAGGCAUGAGACAGGGAGGGAUAAUAGUGGAACAAAAAGAAUGGCAGAGAAAUAAGAUAAGACUUGCGGGAAGACAGGUGGGCUGUCUGGACGAAAAAGAAAUAGCUGCGUGGGCAACUGUGUGAUGACAGUCAAAAGCUAGGGUGAAAGCUGCUUGCAGCUGGUCAAAGGGAAUAAAAAUAAGCUAGAAAAGUGGAGGGCAGCCUGGCUGCCAAAGUGAAAGACAUGCGCAUAAUAAAAGAAACAGAAACUGCACAGGCACAGGGUCUGGGAGUAGAAGGGAGCUGCCCUUGGGCAGCUCGCAGAGACGCAGGAAGGAGGCUGCCUUGGGCAGCGUGGAAAACCAGAAAAAAUAAGAGAGAGGUCAGCACGGGAAGAAGAGGUCAGUACGGAGAGAGAGGAUAGACGGGAGGCGCGAGUGAGAAGGAGCUUAGCUGGGCCUUGCAGCUUUGAAAAACGAAAAAAAAACAGAAACGAAAGAGGAGAGACCGGGGGGGUGUCAGGGAGAACCAAAGGCAGACAGCUGCCUUGCGGCAGCAGAUAGCACGGACAGAAGAGAGAGGCAGGGCGCAGCAAUUAAGGAGCGUGCAGAAAAUAAGAGAGGGAACGCGGAAAGGAAAGAAAAGAGGGGUGUCAGUGAGCACAGCGCCAGGUCAGACGGCAGCAGAAGAAGAAAGGGUUGUAUAUUUUCUCAAACUCAUAUUUUGCUUUUGGUUUAAUUUGAAAAUAAUGUGUAAAUAAAUUUAUUUUGGCUAGAGGUUAAUUCAAAGCCAUGAAUAUAUUUGUAAUAUGAAUUGAUUACCUUCAGUUGUGAGUUAUAAGUUGUGAAUUCAAUUUACUUAUCCGUUCGUAUAAAAACUGAUUUGUGUAUGUUGGUUGAGAGUGCACGCUUAAUUUACAUGCAUGAAUUUGAUGCUAGAAUAUAAGUGAAUUUCACCUAAUCGUUAUGAACUUAUUUUCACAAGUAGUAAAGGUUGCUAGUCACAAUCACGUUAAGUAAAUUCUUGGCAAGAGUAUCAUGCUUUUCAUAGUUACGAAUGCCUCGUCAAUGCUGCUUAUAGUUUUCACAAAGUUUAAUGAUCUUUGAUUGUAUCUCUAUUGUGCUUUUCACGUAGGGGACUUUUGAAGAAUGUUUUGAAUUGUUGUAUGCGUUUUCCCGUCCAAUUCAAUAACUUAAGGAAAACUUGAAGAUUAAAAAAGUGCUGUUCACGGUUAAUCUGGAGUAUUGAAAUUCACAAUUUAUUAAAUGAACAACUGGAAAUCAUUUUGUAUGCAAGUAUAACAUGUGUGGAGAAGAACCCUCUAGCUAGUCCGUCAUUUAUCAUUUUACCUUAAUUUUAUGUUUUUGUCAAUUCUGUAAUUUAAUUAAGUUUAAUUUACUUUUCAUCAAAACCAAACACCCAUCCAUUAUUAAAUUAUAUUAUUUAGUUAGUUUUCAUUGUUGUUAGUCUUUUAAUUCAAUUUCCGUCCAUUUCAGUUCCUAGUGUCUAAUUUGAUUGUUUUCAUUAUUUUGAGUUAUCCUAAGUGUGUUUCGAGUUAUUAGAGUUUUUAGCCUAGUUUUGUGUCCUUGAGUCUUAUUUAAUAUUUUUAAAUUAAUUUAGAAUAGAUUAGCAAUCCCUCCUAAUCCCCGGCCUAGAACGAUACCCUACUUACAUACUUUACUACAAUUGUCAAAAAGAGGGUUUAAUUUGUGUGUUAACUUAUUUUACGCAUCAUAGGCCCUAUCUUCAGGCGGAGCACUAACACCGGGGUGCAGGACAAUGAGCUAUAAAUACAUCUCAACACAAUCAUACUCACUACCAUCAAUAUACUCACCUGAAGCUUACCUGAGCGUCUGCAGCAUCAAGCAACAAUAUAUAUAUAACCAUACUAAUGCAUAAUCAAACAUAGAGCAUUUGACAUGGCAUUUCAAAAUAUAAAACCAUUCAAUUAAGUUUUCUAGGAAAAAUACUAAGUAUAUAUAUAUGUAUAUAUAUAUAUAUAUACACAAACUAAAAACCAAAAGCCCACUCAUUGAUAUGUGGAAGGGUUGUAACCCCCAAGUCUCGCCUGACUGCGCUCUUCCUCUGGAUAGGUUUCACCUAUAUAUGAAACAACUAUUUAAACAUUAUUUUAAGCACAUAACCAAAACUAUGUAAUAACUUCUCAUACGAUGCUCAUUGAGGUAUUUGAAUAUACCAACGUGGCCUACUCAACCCCACAAACAUCCCUAUAUUUUUAGAAAAAAAUUUCGACGUCCCACGUGCCCUUACACGCCGGCCAAGGCACAACCACAUGCGCGGCCAUGCGCAUGCACGUGCCUGGCACACCAAACGAAACAGUUAACGUCGUUAGGGAAUAUUCCGUUAAAUAUAAGCAUAUGCCGUUAAAGAUACCUAACGUCGUUAAUUGUCGUUAGGAAUAUUCUGUCAAAGUUGACAGAAUAUUCUUCUUCUUCUCUGGUGAGUCACCGGAUUCCAUCUUCGUCGUCGGAAACUGGGAAAUACUUCUGAUCGUCAUAUCUCUUCCAUUUCUCAACCAAAUUUUAUGAAAUUUUCACCAAAAUGAAGCUUUCAACUAGUAGAACAAAAUCUUACCAGUUUUAGAACCUAAAACUCACGGGAUCUCGCCGGAAAAAUCACGAUAAUAUGGCCACCUCUGUAACUUGUCAAACCCAAGUUGCCUAAUGUCCAAAACACUUCAAAAUUCUUCCUUAAGCUUCGUGAGGAUGAUUUAAGACCUCCAAAAAGCUCAAAACUUCAAGAAACACUCGCAAUCUUGUCGAGUGAACAAUGCACCUCCUCAGAGCUUCUUGGUUCUCAAGUUCCCGACAUCUUCACGUCCAGCCAAAAGUAUGUAUGAGUUCAUAUGGUUACACGGAAGGUGAUGAUGGUGUUUGUAACCUCGAUCCGUGCCUGAAAGGGUAGUUUCACUAGUUGACCGUACAAGUUGUACAGACAAUAAAGGAAAUCCGAGAGAGAAGAGAGAGAGAGAGAUAGAGUCAACAGAAGAGUGAGGGUGUGUGUGUGGUCCAAUUUGGACUACCAAACAAAAACAACAUGAACCUAGGUUCUAAUUGGGUCCAAAUACUUAGGAAGAAAAUGGAUUGGUCCAAAUCCAUAGCCCAUUUACACACACACAACUCAACGUUCAAGGGUAUAAUUGUCAUUCCACACCAUCGAAGACAAAAAUAGAUUAUUUUUCGGGACGUGCUGUCACAGACAAGGUUGGCCGACGGAAGGGCAAAGAACUCUACGGCCUAAGAGCGGGUCAAGUUCGGGACCUUAAAGGUUCUUCUUCAUCUAGUUGUCAUACUACAAGCAGGAUGUCUUCUAGACUACAUAGUUAGAGAUAGAGCUAGCGAGCGAGCAUGAAGAAGCUACGAGUGAGUAGUGCGCCAACGAGAGGAAUGCCUUAUGCGGUAUGUUGCUUGGAUAGCUCAACCAAUGUCAUCUUUUGGCAUUCGCAUUCCCGAUUCCGGGCAACCUUUAACCGCCAUUCCCCAAGUCACCUCAACAACUACCGCAAUAGUCCUAAUUAGUUUAGUAUUUUUUUUAUAUACAAUUGUACGAAUAUAUUAUUUUUAAUAAAAUUAAAUAAAUUUUUUUAAUAUUGUGAUUUAUUUUAUCUUUUUAGAUUAAUAUAAUUAGAACUAAUUAAAUUAAAUAUUGUUCUAAUUUCAAAUAUUUAGUAAAUAUUUUAAAGACUUUGUCUGAUGAAUAUUUUGUCAAGCAAAUAUUUCUUCUAUUUUUUAUUUUUUCUUUAAAACUCGUCGGCCAACACUCUGUUACCCGACGACUUUAUUUCGUUAGGCCAAAUCUAUUUGCCCGACAAAUGUUUAUUAUCCAUCUGGCAAAUCUUUAAUCGACGGAUUUUGCGCAUAUUGUUGGGCAAAAUUGUAAGCGAUGAAAAAAAAUUUUGCCCAAUAAAAUUAAAGGAAUCUUAAUGAAACACUCGGUACUGUUCACUUUUAACGUUAAGAACAUGUUAACCUUGAAAAGUCACUCCUGGUAUUCACUUACACCUUUAUUUUGCAAUUUUCAUAAAAACUAAAGUUUUUUUUUUAGGACUUUUCUUUAGUUUUCCUUAAAAUUAAUUCAUCUAGAAAGAAUUUUUCCUUGUGAUGAGACUUUUUCUAGUUAUCCUUUACUUUCCGCAAAGAGAGCUGUAUGUACGUAUUCGUACAAAAAUUCUCAUGUUAAUGUGCUCUGUAUGUGUAUAUAUUUGAUUGUGUGCUUGCGUAUGCACAGGACCCAUGCAUGCUAAAGAGAGAGAUCUGCAGAUCUAGCUAGCUACAUUUUCAGGAACAACAUUUGAUUUUAGACUCCCUUGUCUCUAAUUAAGUAAGCAAAAUUUUGUUUAGAUGUGAUGAUUUGUAUGAUUGAAUGCUCUCCAUUAAAAAUCUCCAAUACUUUGAAUUUAAUUAUAGAAUGAGGCCGACUGAAUUUGGAACUACUCCACUUUAUUCAACUUUCACUACAGUAAUGAUUUUAUUUAGUAUAAGAAUAAGUUAAAAGCAUCACGAAAGCAAGAUGCUUUUUGCUUAAACCUUGUUGGCUUGAAGAAUUAAAAUUAAAAUGACUUUGUUUUCUUCUAUUAAUUUGGGAUGCUUUAGAUUUAGCCCUUUACAACUGUUGAACUCUAGAUAUAAACCCACCUAUAUUAAAAUAUCUAAAUAAAACCCAAAUUUUGAAUUUGAUGCCAUGUAAGAUAAAAAUGUCCAUACAUUUAAAUUUAUUUACAACACCAUGCCACCAACAUUAAUAUGGCUAUUACAGUUUUUUUUUUUUUUUUUUGUAGACUUUUAAUUUAUUGUCUUUUUUAUAUCAACAACAUUCAAUUAGUUUAAGUCUUUUUUGCUUUUAAUUUUUUUUUUUAAAAGAAGUUCUUUUCUUCUUUUAUAUGAAAUCCCCUAAUCCAAAUCUAAUUAGUUCAAUAUACAUUCUGUAACAUCCCACAUCGUCCAGGGAAGUGAUCAUUAAAUGUAAAUUCCCAUCCCUACCUAGCACGAGGCUUUUUGGGAGCUCACUGGCUUCGGAUUCCGUAGGAACUCCGAAGUUAAGCGAGAAGGAGGCCAGAGCACUCCCAGGAUGGAUGACCCACUGGGAAGUUGCUCGUAAGUUCCAAAAAAUAAAAUCGUGAGGGAAUGGUAAGCCCAAAGCGGACAAUAUCGUCCUACGGUGGUGGACCCGGGCCGGGAUGGGCCAAAUGGUAUCAGAGCCAAUCCCUGGCCGGAAGUGUGCCGACGAGGACGUCGAGCCCCUGAGGGGGGUGGAUUGUAACAUCCCACAUCGCCCAGGGAAGUGAUCCUUAAAUGUAUAUUCUCAUCCCUACCUAGCACGAGACUUUUUAGGAGCUCACUAGCUUCGGAUUCCGUAGGAACUCCGAAAUUAAGCGAGAAUGAGGCCAGAGCACUCCCAGGAUGGGUGACCCACUGGGAAGUUGCUCGUGAGUUCCCAAAAAUAAAACCGUGAGUGAAUGGUAAGCCCAAAACGAACAAUAUUGUGCUACGGUGGUGGAACAGGCCCGGGAUAUGACAUUUUGAUAGCUGAAGAAGAUAAAUAAUACGUUAAAAGUGAUUUAGGGUGUAUUUAGAAUAUUUUUUUUAACCUAAUAAGGUCAAAAUUGUCAUUGCAUAGUAGGGUAAAUAAAUCAUUUAAUAUUAAAUUUAAUUGGGGUGCAUUCAAUAUUUUGUGGGGUGCUAAUAUAAAAAGCCAAAAAAAAAGGUAAAAAUAAACUAGUAGAUACAUUGUUUCUUGUAAAAACUAAACAAUAGUUACAUUAUUUUCAUAAAAAAAAUAAACAACAUGUAAUUUUUUUUUUUUAAAUUACACAAUAGGUACACAGUUUUCGUAAAAAUUAAAUAAUAGGAACUUUAUUUUUGAAAAAAGAAAACUAGUAGAAACAUUGUUUCUUUUAAAAAUUAAACAACGAAUUUAUAAGGUAAAUUAGUUUUUAUGUAUUUUGCAUAUAUGGGUUUGAUAUUAUGUGGGUAAAUUAUUUUUCAUAAAUUUUACAUAUACUGGGUAUAUUAUUUUUCUUUUUUUAAACAAUCUAACAUUUUAAAAUUUUAAUAGUAGGUGCACAGUUUGAAUCAAAUGUUUUUUUUUUUUUUGUAGGUAAAUUAUUUUGCAUGAAUUUUACAUAUAUCAGGCAUUUAUAUAUAUGUGUGUGUGUGUGUGUGUGUGUGUGUGACAACCCAUCCCAAAUUUUACGAUUUUAUAAAUUUUAAAAUGUGAAUUCACGAGAAUACCCUAGAGACGAGGGUAUUGACUUUCAUGGACCAACGUAUACUGAGACGUACGAAAUAUUUCUAUAGUGUAUUCCUGAAGUUCUUGAUAAAUUUUUUGUAUAUAUAUAUAUAUAUAUUGAUAUUUUAUAUCUUGGCAUAAAAAGAUAUUAUUAUUAUUCGGAGGAUGCUGAGAUUAGAGAGGAAAAAGAAAUGGGAGAACCGGAGGGGAGGAGGAAGGGCAAUACUGCCCAACCGGUGUGAGAGAGAGAGAGAGAGAGAGAGAGAGAGAGAAAGACUAACUGAAUCAGGAGAGGAGAGAGGAAGGGUUGGCCAAUCAGAAAGCAAGAAAUGAGGGAAAGGAGAAAGAGGGAGAAACGGGGGAAAGGGAGAAACGGGUUCCCCAACCCGCGUGACCCGUGCACCCAUCUCUCCAUAUUUUCCGGUGGUUUUCCACCAGAUUUCUCACGAAUUGGGUCAAGGCACCACUCCCAAUCAUCACCUAGUCCUUUCCUCUUCCAUUUCCAUCCAAAUUUGGAAGGGAUUUGAUUGUAAUUUGAUGAAAAAACACUUGUGGGUGCCGCGGGGAACCAUGUGUUAAAUCCAUCAAUUGUGAAACCAUUUCCUUCAAUUACCACCACUAGAACACUCCCCUAGAACCCAGGAACAAAGCCCAAGUAGUGGUGAAGACGUUGGAACACCGAGGAUGUCGAAUUGAAGAACACCUAUUCUAGGGUUUCCGACGGGUUUUAGCAAAAUUGGGGCUCUUCCAGGCCAAAUUGGACUUGGCCACAUGUAUAAAGUUUAUUCUAUUCAUUGAGAUCUUUAUUCCUGUAAAUUUUGAUAAUUUUUGGAAAUAGUUGGAUUUUCCUGCGAGUCGGGGCGGCCAACCGCCACCCGUGGCGACGGGUGGCUAGGGGACAGUCGAUGUUAUUCUUAGGCUAAAUUAGAUGUCUUGAGUUCAUUUUGGUGAUUGUAUAUCAUACAUUGAUCGUUUGGACCUAAAUUCAUUAUAGUACAUAAUAUUUAAGGAACAUAGAAACUUACAGAUCGGGAAUCCGACGCACGGAUCUUCCCGAAUUGGAUUUGUAAGUUCAUAAAAUAAAAUGUUGACCACCACUUGGUUUUUGUCAAUUGCCAGAGAUCCGACCGUUGGAUCGUAAUGAAAUUUUAAGAUGUUGUUCUAGAAGCGUAAUGUGUAUCUUUGGAAGUAACGGAUCGGCAAUCCGUAAUGCGGAUCUUCUGGAUCAAAUCUUAGGGGUGUGUUUUAUGUAAAUUAUGUAUUUUUAUCGGUUUGAACUCUGAGAUGUGAUUUGAUAAUUGAUCAUAGGCGACAAUGGUUCGUGACGUCUCGAUAUGCGUGCUAGGGAGUCGUAGCCCGGACCUCAGGUGAGUGGGUUUUUUCCUUUCCAUCGUAUAUUAUAUAUAUAUAUAUAUAUAUAUAUAAUUGAUAAUUCCAUAAACGUUUAUAAAUUGAUUAUGGCUUACGAUUGCUGUGAAUGCUUUGAAGUAAUUAUUGUGAACUACGAAUAGCUUGAUCCCUAUUUAGGGUACGUAGGCAAUCUAACGAGACGUUAGAUGCAGCCAUACAAUAAAUGAAACUAAAUAAUUGAGACAAUAGCCCUGUUUAGGGAAUUGAGUAAUGUGAGGGACAUUGGUAGAAAAUAUAAGAUUUAACCUUAUGAUUUGGUGGUUAAAUAUUGGUCAUAAAUCAAUGUGUGAAAAAUCAGGAAUUUGAAGUAAGGAAACGUAAGUAAUGAUAGUUAAUUAAACUAGUAUCUAGUUGGGCUUAUCAUCGAUAAUUAUUUCUGAAAAUAAGUAGUUUGGGAGUAGGGCGUUACGGAUUAUGCAUUUUAUGCCAUAUUAUAUAUAUAUAUAUAUAUAUUUAGGAAUACUAUGUUAUGGUUGAACUUUGAUUGCAUCAUGGCAUAUUCAUAUGUAUAUUACCUGCACAUAAUCAUUGUAAAUGCUUGGAAGCUCGAAGGUGAACUCAGGACACUCAGGUAAGUUCAGGUGAGUUUAUGGUAUUAGUUUACAUGAUGGGGUUAUUGCAUGACUAUAUUAUGUCUUAAGCAACCCCGACACUGUCGUAUGGGUUGCUCAUGAAUCAGACAUGUUAUGUUGAGAUGCAGUGAGAGCUCAUAAACCUGCACCCCGAUGUUAGUGCUCCUGCCUGUGACCAGGGCAUAGUCCUUCACGUGAUGUUCACCUCCCGCACCUUACGCUCACCUUGGAUCCAAGGUAGGUGCACAGUCUUGUCGUACAAACCACUAUAGGUGGUUCUGACUCGUAGGUGACCCGCGAUUAUUCACACAGUCUUCACUUGAUCAUAGCACUUGAGCGUAUUUAUUUACACCCAGUCCUGUCGUAUAGACCACUUUAGGUGGUUCCGACUCGUGUGUAGGUAUAUUUAUUGAGCUAUGGAUAAGUUGUACAGGUCACUAAAGCUGACUUUGACUUAUGAGCUAGCAUAUGUGACGAAAUAUGGGAUGAGCUAGCAUAUGUGAUGAAUAUGUGAUAAGCUAGCAUAAGUGAUGAAUAUGUUAUGAGCUAGCAUAUAUGAUGAAAUAUGUGAUAAGCUACCAUAUGUGAUGAAUAUGUGAUGAGCUAGCGUAUGUGAUGAGCUAGCAUAUGUGAUGAAUAUGUGAUAAGCUAGCGUAUGUGAUGAAUAUGUGAUGAGCUAGCGUAUGUGAUGAAUAUGUGAUCAACUAGCAUAUGUGAUGAAUAUGUGAUGAACUAGCAUAUGUGAUGAAUAUGUGAUAAGCUAGCAUAUGUGAUGAAUAUGGGAUAAGCUAGCAUAUGUGAUGAAUAUGUGAUGAGCUAGCAUAUGUGAUGAGAUAUGUGAUAAGCUAGCAUAUGUGAUGAAUAUGUGAUGAGCUAGCAUAUUUGAUGAGAUAUGUGAUAAGCUAGCAUAUGUGAUGAAAUAUGUGAUGAACUAGUAUAUGUGAUGAGAGAUGGGUAAAUCAUACAGGUCACCAUAGGUGACUCCGACUUGCGUAUUAGUAUAGUUAUUAAUCACAUGAUUAUUUGAUAUUGCUGACGAGAUGCUGUGUUGUGGUAUAUUUAUGAUUUUUUCUGGAAAUUAUGCAGGUGUUGUAGCGAGGGGUUAUAAUGUUUUAUAUGGUUUCUAUUAAAAUUUUAUUAGCUGAGCUUUCUUAUCAUCGAAGAUUCGUGGCGAUUCUUAGUAUUGAAGAUUAUUUCGAGGGUACAAUUCUUAAUUCACUCUACUGUACUUGCUUAUGCUCUAACGUCACGUGUGAAAUGGGUUCAUUCCCGCUCACCGGUGCACUCUUGUAUUUAGGCACUCUUAGGUUUAAAUUUAUUCACAUUUUUCCACAUCAUCACACUUUAUGACUUCAUCACCUUCCAGGUGUCGACCAGCACAGCUCGAUUCGAAGUCCUAGUGGACAUUCCAGGUCGGGGUGUGUCAGUGUGUGUGUGUGUGAGAGAGAGAGAGAGAAAUAAUUUAGGUACAUUAAUAUGUAAAAUAUAAUUUUAUUGACUUAAUUAAGCAUGUAUAAUAACAUAUAUUAGACAUGUUUUAUGUUAAUAUAUAUUACGCAAUGAAUUUAUAACAUUAUUGUUUUUUUUGGUAAAAUCAUUAAUUCUCCCUUACCAUCCAUCCGCAUGGCAUUAAUUAUGUACAUCAAACAUUCAAAUAGGGUUUAUAAAAAAAAAAUCAAAUAGGGGUAUUUUAGGCAUCCAAUUUUUUUUUAAUGUGUGAAGUCAAACAUAAUUAAUGAAUUUGUUGAUGUGGAAUCGAGUCAAUGAGUUUUAUUCAAGAAAAAAACUUAUGUCGGGUUUUAUGUAUAGAAAAUUAAGUUUUAACGGCCUUAAAACAAUAGAUAUAGCUGUGUGGUAUUUCUUAAUUUGUGAGAGAAGAUGAUAGUGUAUUACAUGAAUUAAAUAUUUAUUAAAAACUAAACUCUAUUUUUUAUUAACGUAACUUUAAAAAACAACAUAUAAACUACUUUUAAAAGCUGUUGUCUAGAGACUAUUGCUUUUAAAAUAAGCAAGAUAUUUUAUCUUUACCAUAACACUUUUUUACUGCUUAACUUUAAAGUGAAACAAAUUUUGGUGAAAAAUGCUAUACCAAACUCAACCUUAGUCAAUUGAGAAUCUACUCCAACAAAUAUCAAAUAUUCUUUGGUGAGUAAGAAAUUUGCCAUAUAAACAUCCUUCAAUAUUAACUUUAUUAAACUCAAUUUAAAUAACACCUUGAAAUGCUCCCCUUAAUGUUGUAUGUACUUCAACUUGUAAAACAGACAAAAUUCCGAAAGAAGAAUCAAAAUUGUACAACCUAGAGAAUUUCUAUUUAAAAAAAAAUCUGCAACAGAAUCACCAUUGGGUUUAAAACUUUCGUCGAAACUAAUUUUAACAUAGUCAUUGUUUUGAGGUUUCCAGCCAUAUUUCUUAUCAUUUUUAUUUUUAUUUUUCUAGCAAUUUAAUUUAAUUUAUUUAUUUAUUUUCAAUAUUCACUUGAAACUCUUUGUGAGAAUGUGAUGAAAAAGCUUCACAUCAGUGAGGGAUCAACUAUGCAAGGGCUUAUAAGAAGUAGAGCUAUUUCUCAUAUUAGCAAUUGGUUUUAUGGUGGAACCUCAACUUACUUCAUGGUAUCAGAGCAAGAUUGGCCCACAUGUGAAGCCCAAACGGCCACAUGUGCUUCACGUCAUCCUGUUUGUCUUGUUUACGUGUUAAGCUUGAAAAUUCGUUACACAUGAAUGGGCAUGUAAGAAUGUGAGGACAAAGUAUUACUUCGGUAAGAGACCAAACUACGCAAAGCCUUAUGUUUGUACCAUACUUGACCAAUCCCGAAACUACUGAGCACCGGUCAACGUUAUACCGUCAAGCACCCAGAAGAGUUUCCCUCCAACCAGGAGGCCAAUCACAACGCGACACGUGUCGACAUCAGAAGCCAAUCAUAGCGCGACACAUGUUAACAUCAGAAGCCAAUCACAACACGACACGUGUCAAUGUCAAAAUGAAACUAGAAACUCUUUUCUAUAAAUAGAUAUCACUCUCUCACAAUAUUUCCGAAUGUCAUUUGUACUAAAUCAUUCACUAGUACUCAUAAUAAGAGAGUUUGAACCUAUGUACUUGUAUAAACCCUUCACAAUUAAUGAGAACUCCUCUACUCUGUGGACGUAGCCAAUUUAGGUGAACCGUGUACAUCUUGUGUUUGCUUCCCUGUCCCUAUCCAUUUACAUAUUUAUCCACACCAGUGACCAGAGCAAUCUAGGAGGCCAAUCACAGCGCGACACGUGUCGACAUCAGAAGCCAAUCAUAGCGCGACACACGUUAACAUCAGAAGCAAAUCACAACACGACACGUGUCAAUGUCAAAAUGAAACUAGAAACUCUUUUCUAUAAAUAGAUAUCACUCUUUCACAAUAUUUCUGAAUGUCAUUUGUGCUAAAUCAUUCACUAGUACUCACAAUAAGAGAGCUUGAACCUAUGUACUUGUGUAAACCCUUCACAAUUAAUGAGAACUCUUCUACUCUGUGGACGUAGCCAAUCUGGGUGAACCAUGUACAACUUGUGUUUGCUUCCCUGUCCCUAUCCAUUUACAUAUUUAUCCACACCAGUGACCGGAGCGUAACACUUUCUGUUGUACCAAAGUCCUCACUGAUUUUGUGCAUCAACAUUUGGCGCAAUAUGUGGGAACGACACUUAUUCCCACUUUCUUCAGCUUUGCCAAGUUGGUUUCCACCAUUCGUACACUAUCUUUUGACCAUGCAUCCCUCUCCAACAUGGGGAGCGAAGGAAGCCACAGCACACAGAAUGACACCCCUCCUGCACCUAGUGCGAAGCAACGAAAGAAGGAAGGAAAGAGGGUUGCUCUUUAAGCUAAAGUCGAUGAGCUAGAAGCUCAGAACAACAAGAUAGAAAUGAAGAAUGAGGUUCUUCAGGAGUAGUAUGAGAAGCUCUUUGAGACGAUCCACGAAACUAGGCGUACUCAAACACGCGAGCUCAUUGCUCCUGUGGACAUCAACCAUCAUCUGGGUGCCUCCCAACACAGAGGGUCAACUCCUUUCGACAUGGGUAUCCCUGAUGAGAAGCGAGUUAAUCAUCAAAACAUUGAUCAACAUGAGACUUCUUUCAACCCAGAUGCUUCGACCUGAAGUAGAAGAAGUGGAGGAAGACACCUCAUUGCAGAAAGGUUGGAAGGAUCGAAAGCCGUUUAUCGUGACUACCGAGACUUUCUAAAGCAACGUUGAGAAAAUCUCCUCCACGUAUGCUCGAAGAUCAAUGACCCAAGGGUUUCUGAAAGACUCGAUCCCCUCCAAUGACCCAGGCCAGCUGUCAAUCUAGGGAAGGAAUGACAGGUCCCAGAGUAACAUGAAGGUACAGGGGACUCUGAGGUAUUCCGACAGAAUCGCCCUAGAAGUCAGUACGGCAAGUUUAAGAAAAAACCACACGCCCUUGCUCAAACUUUCCUACUUCCAAAAGGCAAUGGAGACUUACGAAAGAAAAUUCCAGUGGUACAUGACUCCACUCAGGACCCCCUUAUUCUACAGCUCUUUGAGAAAGUAAACAAGUUGAAGGCAGAACGUCAGGCCGAGAUACCUGACUGGAACCAACCUAGGCCUGACCCUCUCACAAGAAGGAUCCUCGACACCCCCCUUCAAGCGAAGACAAAACAAAAGCUUGGUUUACAACUCUAUACUGGAAGGGAAGACCCAAUUGAACACCUUAACCCCUUUAAGUCCACCAUGGCAUAUCAGAUGCACACUGAUGAAAAGCGAUGUCUUCUCUACCCCUCCGCCCUUUCUGGCGGAGCUCUAAACUGCUAUUGCCGUCUUCCACCUGAGACAGUAGACUUAUUUGAGGAAUUGAGGAAACUGUUUGUCUAUCAACACAUUUUCUAGACCGAUCACUUGCAUUAUGCAGAUGACUUGUACAUUAUUCGUCAGAAGCCAGAUGAGUCACUACGAGAGUAUACCGGUCGCUUCAGCCAUAAGUAUUCUCGCUGCGCUGAGGUACACGACAAGACCGCCAUCAAGGCCUUCACAGCAGGCCUAGGUGAUUGUUUCUUCAAGUACAUGAUCAAUGCCAACACUUGGAAGACUUACUAUGAGGUGAUGGCACAGGCUUACAACCACGCCUCCGUCGAAGCAAAGACAUACCAAGGGAACCUCCAUACGGUUAACCCCUAUCAAUAAAUGAGAAGUGGAAGUCAAGUUCUACCAAGUGAGGAGAUAUUGGCCAUUCAGACACCCAUUGCAUCAUCUCCUGCCUCAUUUAGCUACUCGCUAAGUCACCAAACGUAUCUGUCUCUUGGUAAGAUGAAGGAUUUUUACUCUCAGCAAGCCCAUUACAACAAGAGGGAUAAAAGUUCGUAUCAAGACAACGGGGCCAAGCCUCACUCUUUCAAAGCGGAGAACUAGGUACUGAAGGAAAUGCUAUUAUAAGAAGGCAUACACAUUACAAAUGUUUCGACUCUCAACCGCUUGAGAUCUUUUGUCACACAAGCCAUUUGGCAAAUAUUUAAAGAAGAGGGAAUUCAGACAACUUCUUCUGAGUCUUUUGUGUUCCUAGCACUGGAACACUUGGUCUAUGCUGACCUACCCUUAUACUCCAACUCAGAGCUUCAACAUGCAUACUUUGACACAAAGUAUGUGAUACUAAGUGUUACAAUCAACAUGGUUCACAUAUCAAAAGCAUGGAUCCCUUCAUGCAUAGCAAAACAUUCAUAAGCAUCACUCAUAUCAAUCAACAUAAACAUUAUACAUUCCAACACAUUUAUACAUAAACAUCAUACAUUCCAACACAUUCAUACAUAAACAUCAUACAUUCCAACACAUCCAUACAUAAGCCAAUUAUGCUUCGAAAGGGUUCAACAUACUUUGUGUCUUCGACACUUGCUAUAAUGUGCCUCGAAACCUUGCCCUUAUUCUCACCAACCAGGUGAUGAAAUGUGAAGAACUCAUCUUCAUGCCACCAACCAGGUGAUGAAAUGUACAACCCGUACUCUCUUUCAUGCCAUCAACUAGGUGAUGAAAUGUACAACCCGUACUUUAAUAUCAUUUGGCAACUUGCCGCUCAUGCCACCAACCAGGUGAAAAAGGAACUCAUCGUCGUGCCACCAACCAGGUGAUGAAAUGUACAACCCGUACUUUCAUUCAUGCCACCAACCAGGUGAUGAAAUGUACAACCCGUACUUUAAUAUCAUUUGGCAACUUGCCAUUCAUGCCACCAACUAGGUAAUGAAAUGUAUAACCCGUACUCUUCUUCAUACCACCAACCAGGUGAUGAAAUGUAUAACCCGUACUCUAAUAUCAUUUGGCAACUUGCCACUCAUGCCACCAACUAGAUGAAAAAGGAACUCAUCUUCAUGCCACCAACCAGGUGAUGAAAUGUACAACCUGUACUCUAAUAUCAUUUGGCAACUUGCCAUUCAGGCCACCAACUAGGGGAAGAAGGAACUCAUCCUCGUGCCACCAACCAGGUGAUGAAAUGUGAUGAAAGGUGAUGAAGGAACUCACCUUCGUACCACCAACUAAGAGAUGAAAACAACUCACCAUUCAUUCCACCUACCAGAAGAUAAGUGGUACAACUUGUACAUGUGAACUCCUAGCAUUCAUAAAUAAUCAAAAACCCUCAAGCUUGACAACUCAACUAGGGGAACACUUAUGCCCAACAAGAGUUAUAGUCACCAACAUAGUCUUAUUGCAAGCCAACAACAACUUCAAUGCAUAGCAUACGAAGAUCAAGCUAUUUAGCCCUCUUACAUCUGCUUCAAACAUUUCCCCUCUGUAACAAUGCAAACACUACAACUCGUAGAAAGUUUCACACACUCUUGAUCAAGACAGUGUAAAGCAAAACCAAUUUAUGGUGCCAACAAGAUCUUCAUCAAAGGAGUUCAACCACAAUUCUCAAAAGCUUCACACACUCUUGAUCAAGACAGUGUGAAGCAAAACCAAUUUAUGGUGCCAAAAAGAGCUUCAUCAAUGGAGGGCAACCACAAUUCUCAAAAGCUUCACACACUCUUGAUCAAGACAAUGUGAAGCAAAACCAAUUUAUGGUGCCAACAAAAGCUUCAUCAAAGGAGUUCAACCACAAUUCUCAAAAGCUUCAGACACUCUUGAUCAAAAUAGUGUGAAGCAAAACCAAUUUAUGGUGCCAACAAGAGCUUCAUCAAAGGAGUUCAACCACAAUUCUCAAAAGCUUCACACAUUAUUGAUCAAGACAGUGUGAAGGAAAACCAAUUUAUGGUGCCAACAAGAGCUUCAUCAAUGGAGGGCAACCACAAUUCUCAAAAGCUUCACACACUCUUGAUCAAAAUAGUGUGAAGCAAAACCAAUUUAUGGUGACAACAAAAGCUUCAUCAAAGGAGUUCAACCAUAAUUCUCAAAAGCUUCACACACUCUUGAUCAAGACAGCGUGAAGCAAAACUAAUUUAUGGUGCCAACAAAAGCUUCAUCAAUGGAGGGUAACUACAAUUCUCAAACAUUCGAAGCAAAUUCAAGAUUGUUUGAAGAAAAUUCAAUUUAUACGGUUCAUCCAAACCUUCGACUACUACAAGGUGUGGCUUGCAUCACAAUCUUUUGUUCAACAUUAUGGAAGCAAAAUUUGUAUAUGUUGUCUCUCCCACAUUUUCAAAUUUCUAGUUUCCCAAAAAAAAAAAAAAAAAAAAAGGGAAAUUCAACAAAGCUUCAUCAAUGGAGGACAACUACAAAUUCUCAAAAGCUUAACACUAUCUUGAUCAAGAUAGUGUGAAGCAAAAUCAAUUCGUGGUACCCAACAAAACUUCACCACAAAAGCUUCACCAACAAAAGCUUCAUCAAUGGAGGACAACUACAAAUUGUCAAAAGCUUCACACUAUCUUGAUCAAGAUAGUGUGAAGCAAAAUCAAUUCAUGGUACCCAACAAAAGCUUCACCCACAAUAGCUUCACAUACAAAAGCUUCACCCAUAAAAGCUUCACCAAUAAAAGCGUCACCCACCACAAAAGCUUCCCUCACCAUAAAAGCUUCACCAACAAAAGCUUCACCCACCACAAAAGCGUCCCCCACCACAAAAGCUUCACCACGAAAGCUUCCCACACCACAAAAGCUUCACCCAUAAAAGCUUCACCAACAAAAGCUUCUCCCACCACAAAAGCUUCACCUAUAAAAGCUUCACCAACAAAAGCUUAACCCACCACAAAAGCUUCACCUACAAAGCUUCAACACAAAAGCUUCACCCACCACAAAUGCUUCACCCACAAAGCUUCAACACAAAAGCUUCACCCACAAAAGCUUCACCCACCACAAAAGCUUCACCCACAAAAGCUUCACCUACAAAGCUUCAACACAAAAGCUUCACACUAUCUUGAUCAAGAUAAUAUGAAGCAAAAUCAAUUCAUGGUACCCAACAAAGCUUCAACCUCAAAGCUUCACCUACAAAGCUUCAACACCAAAGCUUCACCUACAAAGCUUUAAUAUAUAUAUAUAUUUUUUUUUCUUUCGGAAAUUCGAAAAUUCAAAAAUUUGAAAAUUCGAAAAAAAAAAAAAAUUGCCUAGGCUUCCUCUUCUUUGGGCCUACCAACUUUCAUAACAAAUAUAUAUGAAGAAGGAGUUUUGGGCUACCACUUAAAAAGGAAUGCCUCAUUCGUCAACUCCCUCGACCGAAGACUUGGGGGACUCCUACCAUAUGCCACUGCACCUUGAUACUCGGAAGUCUCAUGACCACUCAGUGACUUGGAUUUUUCAAGUCUCCAAAUGAGAAGUUUUCCUCACUCGAGAAAUUAAGGGAGCACUACCUCAACCUACAUGCUUCACUCACAAAGCUUCAACAUACAAGCUUCAACAAAAGGAAAAAUUCAAAGAACUUAGUGAAGAAGGCCUUGGUGUAUUUAACACAAUACGUUGAAAUGAAGCAAACCUUGUUUAUUGAUAUCUCCGAUAAGUUACAAAUAUGUACAUAUACAUGAAUCAAAAUAAACAAACAAGAGGGAUCCUUCACAAAGGUUGCUCAGGAGAAGUCUCAGCAGUCAGCAGAGCUCCAGAAAGAGGAGGCACCAGAGGGUGAUUAUUCGGAGCCUCAGUACUAGGCAGAACCCCAGAAGGAGGAGGCACCGAAGGUUGAUCAUUUGGAGCUUUAUUACGCGAUACAGCCCCAUAAGACGAAGGCAAUAAAUGCCUUUGGAACAAACCCACAAACCUCUGAUAAUCAAGUAAAAUCUGACCAUCAGAUUCCUGCAGCUGGUCAAGCUUCCUCUUCAUGUUUGUAGCAUAAUCAUGUGCGAGCCUGUACAACUGUUUAUUUUCAUGCUUGAGCCCUCUGAUCUCCUGUUUGAGACUUAUCACUUCAGCCGCCAAUGAUUCAACUUGGCGGGUUCGAGCAAAUAGGCGUUGGGCCAUAUUAGACAUAGAACCUUCACACUGAACACUGAGAGCCAGAGAAUCCUUAACAACCAACUCAUCAGACCGUUUGGAAAGUAGUAUGUUAUCUUUGGGAGUGAGAAGGUUCUUGGCCACCACCGCAGCAGUCAUAUCAUUCUUCAUCGCACGGUUCCCAACGGUAAGAGGACCAGUAGGGGAUAAGAAGGAUGGGCGCCAUAUGUUGUCUUGAGAAGGCAUGGCUGCCUCUGCACCAAAGUUCAAGUCAAAAUGACGGUCGAAUGGGCCAGAUAUUCUUAGAAAUGAUGAAAGAGAAAUUAGGUGCAAUAAAUCUUUGAAGUAAGGGGAAAAUUCCUACAAGCAAUAACUCUCUGAAUGUACUUCUUACACACAAUUGGUGCUCUUAUAAAAGAAAGGGCAAUAGGGCUAUUGGUUCAAAAAUCGAAGAGGCACCACUCUCCGGAUUCCAAAGAGGCACCACUUUCCACACACAACAUCAGCUCCUCGGGUACCACAGAUAACUUUGCCAAAGAUCUCUGACAAAGUUUAGACACAAAAAUUUUGAAGGUCCAGCUACCAUACUAUUACCCACAAGGGUAAAGGAACAACACCACUACUUGAUAACUAUAAAGUCUCAAUGUGUGUCAACCUCCGUGCUCUGUGGCAAGGCAGAUUGGUAAAAAUGCCCAACCUUUACUCAUAUUUGAGAAAACACUCCCAACAAGAUUGCUUACUCAAAAAUCGAAGAGGCACCGCCCUCCGAAUCUUGAGAGCUAGACUCCCAACAGGAUUACUUUUUCAAAAAUCGAAGAGACAUUGCUCUCCGAAUCUUAAGAGUCAGACUCCCAACAGGAUUGUUUUCUCAAAAAUCGAAGAGGUACUACUACCCGAAUCUCGAGAGCCAGACUCCCAACAGGAUUACGUGCUCAAAAAUUGAAGAGGCACCGCCCUCCGAAUCUCGAGAGCUAGACUCCUAAUAGGAUUACUUUCUCAAAAAUCGAAGAGACACUGCUCUCCGAAUCUCAAGAGUCAAACUCCCAACAGGAUUGCUUUCUCAAAAAUUGAAAAGGCACCGUUUUCUGAAUCUCGAAGCUAGAUCCCCGACAGGAUUGCUUGUUCGAAAACCGAAGAUGCACCGCUCUUCGAACUUCGAGAGCCAGAUUUCCUCGAAUAAAGCUUGUCUGCAAUCUUCACACGCAACAUCAGCUUUCUAGAUACCACGUACCACUUUUUCAAAGUGCUUUGACAAAGUUAAAACACGUGAAGCUUGCAACUCCCACUACAUUGCUAUGACCAAGAAGGGUAAAGGAAUAGCACUACUACUUGUUGUUAGGGAGACUCCUAUAUAUGUCGACUUCUGUCCUCCACAGCUAGGCAAACCUGCAAAUAAAAAAAAAUGCGUAACUGUUCUUCACAUCCGAGAAGGCACUCUCAGCAAAGUCUCUCGAAAUACUCAGUUUCUUUUCCCUCAGAUAAUACCUUUGCAAACAAGCCACACCAGAGCAAAAGUAUCUCAUAUCAUCAGGAUUAAAAGCAAGAGUAUCCCAUAUCAUGCUUUUUCCCUGUAUUUUCCUUUGGUCUUGUUCUUACCUCCAAGAUAAGGAGAAAAAGAGCAAUCAGUCAGCACUUGGAAUCAAGCUUCUAGUCAGGAACUGACUGCCUGGAACCCUUUGCCUGAUUACUUACCUGGCAUUGCUCUCGAGUACUCAUCUUCAACAUCUUAUGCUUCUAGAGAAGAUACCACAUCUGCCUGAGGAACAGAUAGAGCAAUUGAGAAGGAUACAAGGAAGCAUGUGGAGACAAGCGUAAUAGAACACGUGCUGAUACAUCCACUACUUUGUCAACAACAAAAAUAUCCCAUAUCAUCAGGGUCGAACGUACUCUAGAUUUGAUGGACUUGUUUGACCCUCAAAUUCUUGAUUCGGCCUUAUACUCUGGAGGAAACUAGAAAACCCUUCAGCCCAGUUCAAGAAUAAGCCUGUGGAAAGAUACUUCUUCAAAAGCAAAAGUAUCUCAUAUCAUCUCUUCUCUAUUUGCUUCUCCUUAUCCUUGUUGUUAUUUAUGACACAAGGAGAAGGAGAACAAUCAACCGGAAGUCGAAGUCAAAUUUCUGAUCCAGGUUGCUUGCUUGGAAGUCUGAUUGCUUACCUUGUCUGUUACCUCAUUCGGCAAAUCUCCUAGCUCGGCGACUUGGGGGACUCCUACUUUAGGGUUUGUAUCGCACUUGACUAAGCCCGAAACUACAAGUAAGCUUCAAGUGAAAUUGAUACAUUACCUUGUGCAUCUUCAUCGGUUAAAGAUACCACCUCUGGAUGGAGGAAAAGUACUUCCAGAGAAGAUGCCACAUCUACAUAUGAGACAGAUAAGGCAAGUGAAAAUGAUACCACACUUCGGUACUUAGAAGUUUCGUGAUUACUCAAUAGCUUGGAUCUUGCAAGUCCCCAGCCGAGGAGCUUCCCUCACUCGGGAACUUAGGGGAGCACUGUUUGUACCAUACUUGACAAAUCCCGAAACUACUGAGCACCGGUCAAUGUUAUACCAUCAAGGACCCAGAAGAGUUUCCCUCCAACCAGGAGGCCAAUCACAGCGUGACACAUGUCGACAUCAGAAGCCAAUCAUAGUGCGACACGUGUCAACAUCAGAAGCCAAUCACAACACGACAUGUGUCAAUGUCAUAAUGAAACUAGAAACUCUCUUCUACAAAUAGAGAUCAUUUUCUCACAAUAUUUCCGAAUGUCUUUUGUACUAAAUCUUUCACUAGUACUCACAAAAGGAGAGCUUGAACCUAUGUACUUGUGUAAACCCUUCACAAUUAAUGAGAACUCCUCUACUCCAUGGACAUAGCCAAUCUGGGUGAACCACGUACAUCUUGUGUUUGCUUCCCUGUCCCUAUCCAUUUACAUAUUUAUCCACACUAGUGACCGGAACAAUCUAGCGAAGGUCACAAACUUAACACUUUCUGUUGUACCAAAGUCCUCACUGAUUUUGUGCAUCAACACCUUAUAAGAGGUUGUGCUAUUCCCAAUAUUGCCAAUUAGUACCAUAUAUACAGAAAUAUUAUAAAGAUUAGAAAUAGUUUCUAAAUGUAGACUUACACAUAAUUAACAAAUACAAAUGUCAACAAAUUUUACUAUCCUAGUUCGAAUAUUUGAGCAAUUUUGUACUAAAAGCCGAAGUAAAAGCUAAAACGUUUGGAGGCAAUUUAAGUUUCCAAGUUUUUGCUAAAUUGUUGUCAACAGAAGUUAGAAAGUAAUCUAGUAGCAGUUUAUUUAUAUUAGAGCCAGCCAACAUUUGUAUCAAGAAAACGAGAUGAAGAAAUAGAACAAUGUUUUAUAUAUAUUGCACUGUAUUUAUUUCUUAGUUCUUAACUGUUUGCUAAUGAAAUUUUAAACUUCUUUUGACGAAGUGAAGAUUGAAUGCUAGGACUAAAUUUCAAUGACAGAUAACGAUGUUAAAAGAGAACUUCUGCCAUAAAUCCUUUUGUGAUUUCCAACGAUAUUACUAAGGUUGACAACAUGAUAAAUACCUUGACUUAUUAAUUCCACAUUACCAAGUUCAGCUCGACAAAUUGAUACAAUUCGGCAAACCCGAAAAUAUUUGCUGCUUUUGAAUCUAGCUGUUUCCAUAAUUUGUAAGAGUAAACUGUCAUUUAACCCCCUGAACUAUCACGUGAGUUUCAAUUUCCCCCAUAAACUAUUUUUUAGCCAAUUGACCCCCUAAACUGUGUUAAAGUGGCCAAUUAACCCCCUACCGUUAAGUAUCUUUAACUCCAUCCAAUUUUCUGUUAGAAAGUGUCAUGUGCUUGGCACAUGACCACCUUUUUACAUUUUAUGUCUAAAUCUUUACAAAGAAAACAUAUAUAACAAAUAUUAAAAAAAAACAACUUACAAACCCUAAACUUAAUCAUUUAAAAUAAUAGAAAAGGUAAGGCUUUUUAUAUUAACACCCCACAAAAUGUUGAAUGCAUCCCAUAUUAAAAUUUAAUAUUAAAUGACUUAUUUACUCCACUAUGCAAUGACAAUUUUGACCUUAUUAGGUUUUAAAAAAAAAAAUUAUAAUUACACCCUAAAUCACUUUUAGCGUAUUAUUUAUCUUCUUAACUAUCAAAACCCUCUCAUCCUCCAUUGUUGAACAAAAUCCUAACCAAUGAAACUACAAAUAUGUUGAUUGAGAAAAAUUGUUUUUGACGAAUGAAACACGAAAUCGAUGUUUCUGAAGCUUCACAUGAGAUAAGACUUCACAUUUUUCAUUGUUUUAGUGAUUUCGAUGAUAUCGAUAAUUAUUUAAUCUUGCGUUUGCUGCAUUAUUUUUCAAUAUGAACCCUAAAAUGAAUAUGAAUAUGAAUAUGAAUAUGAAUAUGAAUAUGAAUAUAUAAGUUUAAAUAAUGCAGCAGCAAACGCAAGAUUAAAUAAUUAUCGAUGUCAUCGAAAUCACUAAAACAAUGAAAAAUGUGAAGUCUUACCUCAUGUGAAGCUUCAAAAACAUCGAUUUCGUGUUUCAUUCGUCAAAAACAAUUUUUCUCAAUCAACAUGUUUGUAAUUUCAUUGGUUAGAGUUUUGUUCAACAAUGUAGGAUGAGAGGGUUUUGAUAGUUGAGAAGAUAAAUAAUACGCUAAAAGUGAUUUGGGGUGUAUUUAUAAUUUUUUUUUAAACCUAAUAAGGUCAAAAUUGUCAUUACAUAAAUAAGUCAUUUAAUAUUAAAUUUUAAUAUGGGGUGCAUUCAACAUUUUAUGGGGUGUUAAUAUAAAAAGCCUUACCUUUUCUAUUAUUUUGAAUGAUUAAGUUUAGGGUUUGUAUGUUUUUUUUUUUAAUAUUUGUUUUAUAUGUUUUCUUUGUAAAGAUUUAGACAUAAAAUGUAAAAAGGUGGUCAUGUGCCAAGCACAUGACACUUUCUAACAGAAAAUUGGAUGGAGUUAAAGAUACUUAACGGUAGGGGGUUAAUUGGCCACUUUAACAUAGUUUAGGGGGUCAAUUGGCUGAAAAAAUAGUUCAGGGGGGAAAUUGAAACUCACGUGAUAGUUCAGGGGGUUAAAUGACAGUUUACUCUAAUUUGUAAUCACCACAAAUGGGUACGUGUCUGUAUAUAACCUUAAAAUGAUAAUCAAAUAAGACAUGCACACUGAACUAUCAUGGAGUAGCGCACGUGUCUUCAUUGAAUUGGCCACACUACUGAUUGAAGUAAAAUCAAUCAAAGUACACACCCAAACAAAAGGAAUAUAUUUGACUUUGAUAAAAGUUUAGUCCAAUUUUUGUUUAUAAUUCUAGGGUUUCAGAUCAAGACAUCGUCCUUCAAUCAAUCAAUGUAUAAUCUUUUCAUGUUUGAAUGCAUGGCACAUGUAAGUUACUGUUAUUAGACAUAGAUUGCUGUAGAAUUAAAAUUUUAGAUUGACUAGAAUCUUAGAUUCAACUUUAUUAAUUUGAAUAUUUGACUGAAAGACUUGAAAGACAAAAUGUUGAAUUUGAGGGAGAAAUUUUACAACAAAAAUUAUUAAAUCCCUUUCUAAAAUCAUGCAAUUAAUAGCAAAUAGAUUUUUUAUUUUUUUUAAUUUGAAUUGUGUGAUAACUAAUCAAAUUUUUUAUAUUUUCAAAAUAAAAUUUUUUAUUUUUAUUUUUAAAUAUUGAUGCGUUUUAAGUUAAAAAGGAUACAAUUUAUUAUAAAAUAUGGGUACCUAAACUACAUAUUAAUAGAACCUUCAUUAUCAACCAAAGUCGCAUAAAAUUAUCAUUUAACCCUCUAAUUAAAACUGAAUAUAAACAAGAAAUAUGGGCAGUAAUGUAAUUUCAUACAACAAUUUAUUUUUCAACCCCUCACUUACAUGUGGUUUUAACAUAUACAACAACAACAACAACAAAGCCUUUUCCCACUAAGUGGGGUCGGCUAUAUGAAUCCUAGAACGCCAUUGCGCUCGGUUUUGUGUCAUGUCCUCCGUUAGAUCCAAGUACUCAAGUCUUUUCUUAGGGUCUUUUCCAAAGUUUUCCUAGGUCUUCCUCUACCCCUUCGGCCUUGAACCUCUGUCCCGUAGUCACAUUUUCGAACCGGAGCGUCAGUAGGCCUUCUUUGCACAUGUCCAAACCACCGGAACCGAUUUUCUCUCAUAUUUCCUUCAAUUUUGGCUACUCCUACUUUACCUCGGAUAUCCUCAUUCUCAAUCUUAUCCUUUCUCGUGUGCCCAUACAUCCCACGAAGCAUCCUCAUCUCCGCUACACCCAUUUUGUGUACGUGUUGAUGCUUCACCGCCCAACAUUCUGUGCCAUACAACAUCGCUGGCCUUAUUGCCGUCCUAUAAAAUUUUCCCUUGAGCUUCAGUGGCCUACGACGGUCACACAACACGCCGGAUGCACUGUUACACUUCAUCCAUCCAGCUUUGUAUUCUAUGGUUGAGAUUUCCAUCUAAUUCUCCGUUCUCUUGCAAAAUAGAUCCUAGGUAGCGAAAACGGUCAUUUUUUGUGAUCUUCGCUAGAUUGCUCCGGUCAUUAGUGUGGAUAAGUAUAUAAAUGGAUAGAGAUAGGAAAGCAAACACAAGAUGUACGUGGUUCACCCAAGUUGGCUACGUCCACGGAAUAGAGGAGUUCUCAUUAAUUGUGAAGGGUUUACACAAGUACAUAGGUUCAAGCUCUCCUUUAGUGAGUACAAAUGAAUGAUUUAGUACAAAUGACAUUAGGAAAUAUUGUGGGAGAAUGAUCUCGUAACCACGAAACUUCUAAGUACCAGAGUGUGGUAUCGUCUUGACUUGCCUUAUCUGUCUCAUAGGUAGAUGUGGCAUCUUCUCUGGAAGUACUCUUCCUCCAUCCAGGGGUGGUAUCUGUAACUGGUGGAGAUGCACAAGGUAAUGUAUCAAUUUCACUUGAAGCUUACUUGUAGUUUCAGGCUUGGUCAAGCGCGAUACAAACCAUGUAGUAGGAGUCCCCCAAGUCGCCGAGCUAGGGGAUCUGCUGAAAGAGGUGACAGACAAGGUAAGCAAUCAGAGCUCCGGCUGAUUGUUCACAUUCUCUCCCUAUCUUGCAGGCAGCAUGAAGGAUAAAGAGAAAGAAAAAUGAGAAGAGAUGAUAUGGGAUACUUUUGCUUUUGAAGAAGUAACUUUCCACAGGCUUAUUCUUGAACUGGGCUGGAGGGUUUUCUGGUUUCCUCCAGAGUAUAAGGCCGACUGAAGAAUUUGAGGGUCAAAACAAGUCCAUCAAAUCUAGAGUACGUUCGACCCUGCUGAUAUGGGAUACUUUUGCUUUUGACAGAGUAAGUGGAUGUAUCGGCACGUGUGCUGUUACGCUUGUCUCCACAUGCUUCCUUGUAUCCUUCUCACUUGCCCUAUCUGUUCCUCAGGCAGAUGCGGUAUCUUCCCUGGAAGCAUAAGAUGUUGAAGAUGAGUACUCGAGAGCAAUGCCAGGUAAGUAAUCAGGUAAGGGGUUCCAGGCAGUCAGUUCCUGGCUGGAAGCUUGAUUCCAAGUGCUGACUGAUUGCUCUCUUUCUCCUUGUCUUGCAGGUAAGAACAAGGCCAAAGGAAAAGACAGGGAAAAAGCAUGAUAUGGGAUACUCUUGCUUUUAACCCUGAUGAUAUGAGAUAUUCUUGCUCUAGUAUAGCUUGUUUUACAGAGGUAUUAUCGGGGGAAAGAAAGCUGAAUAUUUCGAAAGGCUUCGUUGGGAGUGCCCUCUCAGAUAAGAGGAAGGGUUGAGCAUUUUUGCAGGUCUGCCUGUCCGUUGGGGAUGGAGGUCGACAUAUAUAGGAGUCUCCCUAACAUCAAGUAAUAAUGCUAUUCCUUUACCCUGCUUGGUCAUAGCACGGUAGUGGGAGCUGCCAGCUUCACAUGUUUUAACUCUGUCAGAGCACUUUGAAAAAGUGGUCUGUGGUAUCUGGAAAGCUGAUGUUGCGUGUGAAGAUUACAGACAAGCUUUAUCCAAGGAGAUCCAGCUCUUGAAGUUGGGAAAGUGGUGCCUCUUCGGUUUUCGAACAAGCAAUCCUGUCGGGGAUCUGGCUCUCGAGAUUCGGAGAACGAUGCCUCUUCGAUUUUUGAGAAAGCAAUCUGCUGGGGGUCUGGCUCUCGAGAUUCGGAGAGCGGUGUCUCUUCGAUUUUUGAGAAAGUAAUCAUGUUGGGAGUCUGGCUCUCGAGAUUCGGAGGGCGGUGCCUCUUCGAUUUUGGAGCAAGCAAUCUUGUUGGGAGUGUUUUCUCGAAUGUGAGUAAAGGUUGGGCAUGUUUGCUAGUCUACCUUGCCACGAAGCACAGAGGUUGACACACAGGGACUUUCCAAUUAUCCAGCAGUGGUACUGUUCCUUUACCCUCUCUUCGAUUUUUGAGAAAGUAAUCAUGUUGGGAGUCUGGCUCUCGAGAGAUUCGGAGGGCGGUGCCUCUUCGAUUUUGGAGCAAGCAAUCUUGUUGGGAGUGUUUUUCUCGAAUGUGAGUAAAGGUUGGGCAUGUUUGCUAGUCUCUACCUUGCCACGAAGCACAGAGGUUGACACACAGGGACUUUCCAAUUAUCCAGCAAGUGGUACUGUUCCUUUACCCUCUCUUCGAUUUUUGAGAAAGUAAUCAUGUUGGGAGUCUGGCUCUCGAGAUUCGGAGGGCGGUGCCUCUUCGAUUUUGGAGCAAGCAAUCUUGUUGGGAGUGUUUUCUCGAAUGUGAGUAAAGGUUGGGCAUGUUUGCUAGUCUACCUUGCCACGAAGCACAGAGGUUGACACACCGGGACUUUCCAAUUAUCCAGCAGUGGUACUGUUCCUUUACCCUUGUGGGUAAUAAUAUGGUAGCUAGACCUUCAAAAUUUAUGUGUCUAAACUUUGUUAGUGUUGUUUCUUUGCUAUUCUUUUACCCUUCUUGGUCAGAGCGAUGAUGUAGUGGGAGCUGCAAGCUUCACGUGUCUCAACUUUGUCAGAGAACUUUGGCAAAGUUAUCUGUGGUACCCAUGAGCUACUGUUGCGUGUGGGAAGUGGGGUGAUUGAACAGUAACGAUUCAUGUGCUUUCUACUUCGCCAGAAAUCUUCGACAGAAUGCCCAUAAUUUCCGCAAAGCUGAGUGUGCGUGUGACAGGUGCUGACAAGGCUGGAAAAGUAGGUGCCUCUUCGAUUUCUGAGAUCGGCCCUCGUGGUCUCUGAGCAGCCCAGCUUUUGAGAAAGCAAGCCUCUUCGAUUUCUGAGAUCGGCCUUCGUGGUCUUUGAGCAGCCCAACUUUUGAGAAAGCAAACGCCUCUUCGAUUUCUGAGAUCGACCCUCGUGGUCUCUGAGCAGCCCAGCUUUUGAGAAAGCAAACGCCUCUUCGAUUUCUGAGCAGGCGCCUCUUCGAUUUCUGAAGCUUCGUCGAGUGCAGAUUUUUAUAGGGGCUGACAUUAAGUUCCAAAGCACACUUGAAUAUCCACCAGUAGAAGCAUUCUUGCACUUCUAAGAUCUUGUCCACUUCUUUGAAAAGAUCUUGACCUUGUUGUCCGACCUCUUCUCUCUUCAACACCACUUUGAAAAUGUCUAAGGCUCUCUCUCCAGUGUGCAGGUUCCUAAUAUCGUUUUUGACUUGAUGACAAACUUGCUCAAGCAUGAGACAGCAGGACUAUGCCCCGCCUUUACUUGAUCAUCAGAGACAAAGGCAUAUGCUCUCCUUCUUCUAGGGUUCUGUCCAGUACUGAGGCUCUGAAUGAUCCCCCUCCGGUGCCUUCUCUUUCUGGGGCUCUACCGACUGCUGAGACUUCUCCUAAGCAACCUUUGUGAAGGCUCCCUCUUGUUUGUUUAUUUUGACUCAAGUAUAUGUACAUAUUUGUAACUUAUCGGGGAUAUCAAUAAAUAAGCUUUUUCCUCAUUUCAACGUAUUGUGUUACACCAAAGCCUUCUUCGCUAAGUUCUUUGAAUUUUCUUUUUGUUGAAGCUUGUAUGUUGAAGCUUUGUGAGUGGAGCAUGUAGGUUGAGGUAGUGUUCCCUUAAUUUCCCGAGUGAGGAAAACUUCUCGGUUGGAGACUUGGAAAAUCCAAGUCACUGAGUGGGAUCGGCUAUAUGAAUCUUAGAACGCCAUUGUGUUCUGUCCUGUGUCAUGUCCUCCGUUAGAUCCAAGUACUCUAAGUCUUUUCUUAGGGUCUCUUCCAAAGUUUUCCUAGGUCUUCCUCUACCCCUUCGGCCCUGAACCUCUGUCCCAUAGUCGUCGCAUCUUCUAAUCGGAGCGUCAGUAGGCCUUCUUUGCACAUGUCCAAACCACCGUAACCGAUUUUCUCUCAUCUUUCCUUCAAUUUCGGCUACUCCUACUUUACCCCGGAUAUCCUCAUUCCUAAUCUUAUCCUUUCUCGUGUGCCCACACAUCCAACGAAGCAUCCUCAUCUCCGCUACACCCAUUUUGUGUACGUGUUGAUGCUUCACCGCCCAACAUUCUGUGCCAUACAGCAUCGCAUCGCCGGCCUUAUUGCCGUCCUAUAAAAUUUUCCCUUGAGCUUCAGUGGCAUACGGCGGUCACACAACACGCCGGAUGCACUCUUCCACUUCAUCCAUCCAGCUUGUAUUCUAUGGUUGAGAUCUCCAUCUAAUUCUCCGUUCUUUUGCAAGAUAGAUCCUAGGUAACGAAAACGGUCGCUCUUUGGUAUUUCUUGAUCUCCGAUCCUCACCCCUAACUCGUUUUGGCCUCCAUUUGCACUGAACUUGCACUCCAUAUAUUCUGUCUUUGAUCGGCUUAGGCGAAGACCUUUAGAUUCCAACACUUCUCUCCAAAGGUUAAGCUUUGCAUUUACCCCUUCCUGAGUUUCAUCUAUCAACACUAUAUCGUCUGCGAAAAGCAUACACCAAGGAAUAUCAUCUUGAAUAUGUCCUGUUAACUCAUCCAUUACCAACGCAAAAAGGUAAGGACUUAAGGAUGAGCCUUGAUGUAAUCCUACAGUUAUGGGAAAGCUUUCGGUUUGUCCUUCAUGAGUUCUUACGGCAGUCUUUUGCUCCUUCAUACAUAUCCUGUAUAGCUUGGAUAUAUGCUACUCGUACUCCUUUCUUCUCUAAAAUCCUCCAAAGAAUGUCUCUUGGGACCCUAUCAUACGCUUUUUCCAAAUCUAUAAAGACCAUGUGUAAAUCCUUUUUCCCAUCUCUAUAUCUUUCCAUCAAUCUUCGUAAGAGAUAGAUUGCCUCCAUGGUUGAGCGCCCUGGCAUGAACCCGAAUUGGUUGUCCGAAACCCGUGAACCCGUGUCUCUUGCCUCAAUCUAUGCUCAAUGACUCUCUCCCAGAGCUUCAUUGUAUGACUCAUUAGCUUAAUACCCCUAUAGUUCAUGCAAUUUUGUACAUCGCCCUUAUUCUUGUAGAUAGGCACCAAAGUGCUCGUUCGCCACUCAUUUGGCAUCUUCUUCGUUUUCAAAAUCCUAUUGAAAAGGUCAGUGAGCCAUGUUAUGUUAUACCUGUCUCUCCCAAAACUUUCCACACUUCGAUUGGUAUAUCGUCUGGGCCUACUGCUUUUCUAUGCUUCAUCUUCUUCAAAGCUACAACCACUUCUUCUUCCUUCCGGAUUCUACGAUAAAAAAGAGUAGUUUCUACACUCUUCUGAGUUACUCAACUCCCCUAAAGAAGCACUCCUUUCAUGUCCUUCAUUGAAAAGAUUAUGAAAAUAACCUUUCCAUCUGUCUUUAACCGCGUUCUCUGUAGCAAGAACCUUUCCAUCCUCAUCCUUGAUGCACCUCACUUGGUUUAGGUCCCUUGUCUUCUUUUCCCUUGCUCUAGCUAGUUUAUAGAUAUCCAACUCUCCUUCUUUGGUAUCUAGUCGCUUAUACAUAUCGUCAUAAGCCGCUAACUUAGCUUCUCUCACAGCUUUCUUCGCCUCUUGCUUCGCUUUUCUAUACCUUUCACCAUUUUCAUCGGUCCUAUCCUUGUAUAAGGCUUUACAACAUUCCUUCUUAGCCUUCACCUUUGUUUGUACCUCCUCAUUCCACCACCAAGAUUCCUUUUGGUGUGGGGCAAAGCCCUUGGACUCUCCUAAUACCUCUUUUGCUACUUUUCGGAUACAACUAGCCAUGGAAUCCCACAUUUGGCUAGCUUCCCCCUCUCUAUCCCACACACACUGGUGAUUACUUUCUCUUUGAAAAUGGCUUGUUUUUCUUCUUUUAGAUUCCACCAUCUAGUCCUUGGGCACUUCCAAGUCUUGUUCUUUUUUUCUCACUCUUUUGAUAUGUACAUCCAUCACCAACAAGCGAUGUUGAUUAGCCACCACUCUCUCUCCUGGUAUAACUUUGCAAUCCUUACAAGUUAUACGAUCCCCUUUCCUCAUUAGAAGAAAAUCUAUUUGUGUUUUUGACGACCCACUCUUGUAGGUGAUCACAUGUUCUUCUCUCUUCUUAAAGAAGGUGUUGGCUAAGAAGAGAUCAUAUGCCAUUGCAAAAUCCAAGAUAGCUUCCCCAUCCUCGUUUCUCUCCCCAAAACCAUGGCCACCAUGAAAACCUCCAUAGUUGCCUGUCUCCCUGCCCACGUGUCCAUUUAAAUCUCCUCCUAUAUAUAAAUAACUUCUCCGUCUGAGCAAUUCCUUGCACCAAGUCUCCAAGGUCUUCCCAAAAUUUCUCCUUCGAACUCGUAUCCAACCCUACUUGAGGUGCGUACGCACUAAUCACAUUGAUAAGUUCUUGUCCUAUUACAAUCUUGAUUGCCAUGAUUCUAUCUCCUACCCUCUUGACAUCUACAACAUCUUGUGUCAAGGUCUUGUCCACGAUGAUGCCAACACCGUUUCUCGUUCUAUUUGUGCCCGAAUACCAAUAGUUUAAACCCUGAGUUUUCUAGAUCCUUUGCCUUACGACCAACCCACUUAGUUUCUUGUAGGCACAUAAUAUUUAUCCUUCUCCUCACCAUAACUUCCUACUACUUCCAUAGAUUUUUCCCGUUCAAGGUUCCUAUAUUCCACGUUCCUAAACGCAUUUUGCUCUCUUGAACUCUACCCUUCAGUCCUAACUUCUUCACCCUUCCCCGUCUAAUAGGAUCAAAGUACUUCUUUUGUGUGUCCCGUGUAAAGUUUAUGGGAGCAUAUGCUCCCAAACAACUUUGAGUGGAGUCGUUCGAAAAGAAGUUUCUAUAGCCCCCUUGCUCAUUUAACACUGCAUUCGGGUGUCGAUGGAGAUACAGCGACCCUUGCUCACUUAUCACUGUGCUCGGGCCACACAGCGCCCCACUUACGGGUGACGCCCUAGCUUUAGCGCGAUUUCGUUCUGGAUUCAUUUUCAUAAGGAUUCGACGUAAUAAUGGAGUGCCUGCUGUCGACUACCUGACGAGAAAGUUUGGACCAUUUUUUUAUGACAAAUUGGUACAUUAUAAAUAAUUUAUGGGUAAAAGUAAAAUUUCAAAAAAAUAAUGGGUACAAAUUUGGGUGGUGCUAUCAAAACACUCAUUUUUAACACUCACUAUUACAUAAAAGUGUUUUCGUAAGGAAAACCAAUUUGUUGCGCAAAGAGAAAGUUUGCCGUGCAAAAUUUGGGCCAACAAAACUUCGUCACCCAGAAAUCCUCGAGCAAAGGUCGAGAAGCAAAGAGUUGCGCGACGAAGACAAAAGAUAAGGGGAUGAAGAUCAUUUGUCGUGCCAACUUUAAGGUUAUGCACGACGGACCAUUGUCCAGUGUUAAAUUUUAGGCGACGACAUAUUCUCGUUGGGCAAAAUACUUUUUAAUAAUUAAUUUUUUUGUUAAGUUUGAUAUUUUAAUUAAUUUAAUGCUUUGUUACUUAAAUAACAAAAAAUAAACAUACGUACAAACAAUAAAAAAGUUAUAAUAUCCUACUACAGAAAAAUUAUAAAAGCAGGGCUCGAAAUCUGCUACUGGGUGGGAUGUCUUGGGAUCUGCUGGGUGGAGUGGCUAAGAAUUAGAUGUUUGAGGUGGCUGGGAAUCUGGCAUUAGAAAUAGAAAGGCAGACAACUGAAGCGAAUGUGAGAUCUGGCUCAUCUAGUCACCCUAGGCCGCAAGUUGCCGUUUCAGGUCCUAAACUUCUGCCGUAUACGUGGCGAUCUGUCCCAAGCUUUCUCUAGAACUAGAAGCACCAGUGUCACAAGCCAAGGACCAACUUCAUGUGUAUGUUCACAUGCACCAUUUAUGUGCAAUUUAGAUCCAGAGUAGGUGUCAGCCUAUCCCUAGUUUUGCAUUAAACAACUAGGACCCGUAUGUGAGCAUUUAGCGCCAACUUUACGUGAUUAUAGUACUAGACCGUAAAUUACACACCCAACAUGUUCAUGUUGCGACUUUCUACAUGAUUUGAUGAGCAAUGACUACUUGUUAUCACUAUUGCUUUUACUAUUCUCUACCCGUAUUCUUUUAUUUCAACUUUUAUUGGGUACUGUACAAUAUACUUAUGAAUAAUAUGUUAUUUUGGGAAACUAUACUUUUUUACAGUGCAAGGUUAUAACUUUACGAAAGCAACAGCUUUACACAAAUUUGUUUGUCAACCAACUCACCUUUGUUUUUCACCCCUCCAAGAGUUAGUGGCAUUGCUUUUGUGACGAUGAAGAUUACUGGCAAAUGCUAACCUCCACUUCUAUUAAUGUGGGAAGUUUCUCAUUUCUGUACAAACAUUCCUUACUUUAAUGUACUUAUACUUAUGCUCUGACAUAACAUGUGUAAUAAAGGUUCAUCCUGCAAUUGCGCACUUACGCUAUCAAUUUAAAUAAUUCUAGACUUUUAGGUUUUGAUUUAUUCUUUUUUUUCUACAUUACAUUCACUUUAUAACUUCAUCACCUUUCAAGUGUCGACCAACACAACUCGAUUUAGGUGUCUAGGUGGAUAUUCUUAAUCGGGUAUGUCAACAUCACUCAAAAGAAUUAAAUAUUUGGGUACAAACUAAAACAAAAGAAAAAAAAUGAUACAUAUGGAAAAAAAUGGUUGUAAAUUAAAAGAUAAGUACAAAUUGAAAAUAUAAAUAUAUGAUACAAAAUUCAACCAUAAAUAUAAGUUACCAAAUGUAACAUUUCUAACACUAAAUGUGUCACAUCCCAGCCCGAGGGUCCGCUCCACUACCGUAGCACAAUAUUGUCCGCUUUGGGCCCCGACCACGCCCUCAUGGUUUUGUUUCUGGGAACUCACGAGCAACUUCCCAGUGGUAUAUAUAUUUAUGUGUUAUUAUUUUUAUUAGUUGUUAUUAGAAAUGGGAAAAGAAAGAGGGCAGUCGGGAAGGAAGAAGAAAAGAAAAAUGGGAUUGGGCAAAACUGCCCAAUCUGAAAGAAGAAGGAGGGGACGAAUCAGGAGAAGAGAGAAGGAGAAUUUGACCAAUCAGGAAGAGAAGAAAGAAGGAGAAAGGAGGGAAGGGAGAAACGGGGAAUCACGACCCGCGGAUUGGCAACCCGACCCGGUCGGUGUUCUUGCCAUUUUCGACGAGUUUUGGACCAUUUUUCCGGCGAAUUGCUUCAAGAAACCUCAUGGGAAACACUCUAGGAGCCUUCCUCUAUCCAUUCCAUCUCAAAAUUGGAGAGAUUUGGCUUUGAAAAUUGAGGAACACACAAGGAGGGGUGCGGCGGAUUUGGCUUCGAAUCACCCAAUCCCGAAGCAAUUUCUUUCAAUUGUCACCACCCAUAGCAUCCUCUUGAGGCCUAGAACAAAGCCCAAGCAUUACUUGGAGCAUCGGAGUUGAUUUGAGGACGAAUUGGAACUCACCCAAUUCUAGGGUUUCGCACGGGUUUGAGCAAAUUGGAGCCUUUCCAGGCCAAAUUGUCCUUGGCCUUAGGUAUAAAGUUUACUCUACUUAUUGAGAUCUUCAUUUCUUUAAAUUUUGGUAAUUUUUGGAGAUAGUUGGAUUUUCUAGCGAGCCGGGGUGGCCAACCGCCACCCGCGGCGGCCCGUGUGGCGGCACAUGGCCAGUGGCUCGCCAAUGUCAUUCUUAACAUGUGUUUAAUAUUUUAGGUUCAGUUUUGAUAAUUGAUUGACGUAAAUUGAGUAAUUGAACCUAAGUUCAUUACGAUUCGUGGUUAGGUGAAAAUGUGAAUUGACAAUCCGACCGUUGGAUCGUCACCAAACUUUGACACGUUGUAAUACGUAAUAUUUGAGAAUUUUAGGAACUUACGGAUUGGGAAUCCGAUUUACGGAUCAUCCGGAAUUGGAGUUGUAAGUUCAUAAAAUAGAAUGUUAACUGUCACUUGGUUUUGACAAUUGACGAAGAUCCGACCGUUGUAUGGUAAGGAAAUUUUAGGAUGUUAUUAUAGAGAUAUAUUGUGGACCUCUGGAAGUUAUGGAUUAGAAAUCUAAGUUGCAGAUCUUCCGGAUCGAACUACGUAGUGAUGUGUUUUAUAUAAGUUAUAUAUUCUAUCGAUAUAAUUUCUGAGGUUUGUCUUGAUGAUUAUUCUAGGCACCGAUCGUCAUGACGCCUUGAUGUGUUGUGCUAGGGAGUUGUAGGGCGAACUCCAGGUGAGUGGACAGUAUUUUCUGUAUUUACCUAUAUACUAUUGAUUUUUCCCAGAAAUUGAAAAUAAAUGAAAGUAUGUUUUAAAAUUCCAUGCAUGCAUAUGAUAUGAAAUAUAUGAAUUAGUAUUUGAUGCAUAUAUGUGAAUUGGUGUUGUGGACACACAGGUGAGUAUCAGGUGAGUUUUAUGUUAUUCAUAUGGUUUAUUGAUGAUGUGAAUUAUGUUGAGAGCUCAAACAUGUACCCCCAGUGUUAGUGCUUAUAUUAUUCACCCCACACCACAUGCUCACCUUGGAUCCAAGUAGGUGCUUGUCGUACAGACCAUUAGAGGGUUCCAACAUGUCGUACAGACCAUGAGAGGUGGUUCCGACUUGUAGGUGAUUUUAGAUUAUUAUAAAGCUGUUGAUGAGAGAAGCAAUAGAGCGUAUUCUUACACCUUUCUUAUCGUACAGAUUACUUCAGGUAAUUCCGAUUUAUGUGUAUAGUAGCGCCGUACAAGUCACUGCGGUGACUCCGGUUGGAUUGGAUAUUGAGCUAUAGAAUUAACCGUACAGGACCAACUGCAAGGUCUCCGGUUGAUUCCUUAGUUCACAUGUUAUAUUGAUGCAUCCUUAUUCUGUUAUUGACGCUUAUUGCAUGGCAUACUCUCUGGUUUUUGACAAAGAUUAGUGAUUUGAGAUAUUUGAAGAAUUAUAUGCAUAUUAUGUUAUUUUUGGGAAAGUAUACAGGUUUUACAGUGAGGGGUUAGAAAUGUUAUUAAAUGAAAUAUUUUCGAAAAACUUUGUUUUACUGACCCACUCAACUUUGUUUUGCGCCCUUCCAGGUUCAAGAUAGUAGAGCUUUGGUGGUCAUGAGGAAUCCAACGGUGUUCUGACAGAAUUCAAAAAAGUAGGACUCACCCUCGGGUGUUACAUCUUAGUAAUUGUAUCUUUAAAGCUUCCGAACUGUGUAAUUGGUUACGUCACUCUCACGUGACGGCCAGCAUGCCCUCAUUCGGGACGGGGUGUGUCAAAAUGGAUCUAUUUGAAAUUGUUUAAGUCAUUUUUAAUUAAAAAAUUUAAAUAUGCUGACAUGUAAAUGUUUUAUUUUAUUGAAAUAAUGAUGUGGAUAAAAAUCAAAGGGCCUUGACAAAAAAUUCAAAAAAAAUAAUAAAAAAAGGUUUCAAUCAAUAAAAUUAAAAAAUGAGGGAUGAGAAUUAAUUUCUCCAUUUCCAAAUUUUAAAGAGUUUUGUUACGUAAACAAAAUUUCCUAUGUUUAUUUUUGGUUUAAUUGUAUUGAAAUAUGUAUAAAAAUAAAAAUAAAAAUAAAAAAAAUAAAAAAAACUCGAGUUUGGUUUGAUGUUGAUCAAUAUGAAGAGUCCUGGCAAGUGUGAGAAAAGAUACUAAGGUUUUUUUUUUAAGAAAUUUGAAGUUGUGCCAUAAAACUUGGUAGGUAAUAGGGGGAGUAGCACAAGUACUUUAUAGGUACAUGUAAGGUUCAUUCUUUCUCUGAUGUGAGAUUCAUUAUCUCACAAUGCCUCUUCAUGUGUGACAAAACUUUCAAGUCUUGCACCCGGUCGACCGCAAAAUGCGUGAUGUGGAGUACAUGUGACCGUUGACCUUCACUCAAGGGACAACCUACUUUAAUAUCAUGAAUAAAAUUGAGGUUCCACUAUAAAACUUGACAAUAUAAAAAGUAACCUAAUUUACUUAUAAGCACAUAAUAUGUCCAUUUUUCUCCAAUAUAAAUUCAUGCUAUCAGCGGUUUCUGCUUAAGCAAUUCAUCACACAUUACGCAACAAAUAAGAAUGGGUAUUAAUCGUUCUAGAAACUCAGUUUUUAUUAAUGUUAUAGUGGUACAAAUCCCUAUAAUCCCUCAAGUUAAUUUUCAUCGGCAUUCGUUGAGAGCUGCAAGCCCUAGGGUGGAAGAAUGUUAAAAAGACUUCUUAAAAGUAGGAUUUUUCAUGGACUUUUCGACAUCUCAUAUUUUUUGCAUAAUUUUCGUGCCAACAUUAUCAAAUAUUAUGUCAAAAACAUAAGGUGGUGAAAAAUCCAUGAAGAGUCCCGCUUUGAGAUGGUCUCAUUAGCAUUUCUCGGAAUAACUAACAUAUAUAGAGAGCUGUAAUUAGUUUUAACAAACAAGACAACAAAGUCAAUCCUAGACAACAAACAAGACCUUAAGUUCAAUAAGUUGAGGAACCAUUCUACCAAUAAUUCAAUGACUUGCUUAAUGUGUCAUCAUUAUUCCUUCAUACAAACAUUAAACUGAAAAUUAUGGCAUAGAUCACCAAAAACACCUCCAUGGGAAAAGAAUGAUAUAAUGUAUAUCUAACACACAUUUGCACACAUUCUAAAAGCCUUGGGAUUGUUCCACAACCUUUCAUAGAUCUAAUUUUGCAUACGUCUCUUGAUUAUUCGAAAAUACUGUUAAACUAUAUAUGUUUUUCUGAUAGUAAAUCUCUCUUGCAUUUCGCUGAAAAUCUUAUUAUUAAAGUUUAAUUUUUAACAAAUCAAAGACGAAAAAAGAAUAAAUUGAUUACAAAUUAUCAAUUCGGCUACAUAACCUCAACAUCUUGUCAAGAUUUAAUUCUUCUACUAAAUUACUAGGAAGACCUAAACGUAAACGAUAGAAAAGAUUUCUAAACCCUAGUGAUGCGAAAGCAAGCACCAUAGUAUUCGCCAAACUAGAAAACUCUAAGAUAUAAAAUAUUUGAAAAUAACAAACCAACCAAAUUACCUACUUACAAAUUUUUCCAUCAUCUUAUCCUAUAAUGUUAUAAUUAUUUACUACAAUAUUAUUGUGCAUACACUGACAAGAACGUGAAGAUCAUGUAAGAAAAUGGAGACUUUUUGGGCACAGUAUGCCAUGAUUAGUUUUUAUAGUGUAUGUUCACAGUUUAAUGCACUUAGAGUUGUUAUUUUGCUUUUUCCUCCGUAACUGUUACCCAAAAACACAUGGUGUAGCAGCAAACUAAUGGAAAUACCGAGAAGAAGGUUAAGAUAGAGUAAAAUAUGGCCAUUUCUCUAUUCCUUUAUAUAUUUAUUAUAGGGACACAGUAUUUUAUCACAUCAAAUAUCAUCUUCUUUCAGCCGACUCCCCUAAAUUUCGGUUUGGCAGUUAGUAAAGAAAAACAUUAUUGUAAAGCAAAUUUCCAGUCUUGACAGAUUGCUAUAUACUGGUAUCACAGAUUUUAGUAUUUCGGUUUGUAUUUUUGUUUUUUGUAGAGUAGUUUCAUAAUACUACAUAGAGAUGUGGGAAAGCUCAUCAUUUCACAAUUACAAAAUUCGAUGUUAUCUUUAUACACGAAUAAUUGAUAUAGUUAAUGUUGGAGGGACCAUCUAUUUAAACAUAUGAUGUAAUUGUUGAUCGUUGAAUUAUUACUUGAAUGCUGAUUAACCUGUUGAUUUUCUAUUGGUAGAUAAAAUUUUCAUUGUGUCCGGAAUACGAGUGGUACACCACGUAUCACUUAUAAGUGGAGGAAAGUUUUAUUUUUGAGUAAAUUGUAGAAAUGGUCAUUCAAUUUUAACCCAAUUAGAGCAAUAGUCGCUCAACUAAAAAUCCAUUACAAUUGGUCUCUCAACUCAUUAAAACGAGCAGUUAUGGUCUUCUUGUCUACUUCGUUAAAACUUCUGUCAAAAUAAGUCACGUGCCAUGCAUGUGAGGCUGAAUCAAGAAGCAAAUAUAGAAAAUCAAAUAAGAAAAAUUGUAUCAAUGGUCCCUCAACUUUAAUCCAACUGGAGAAAUGGUCUCUCAAUUUUAACCCAAUUGGAGCAAUGGUCCUUCAACUUUCAUCCAAUUGUAGCAAUGGUCAUUCCAACAUAACUCAUUUUGACAGAAUUCUGAUGGAGUUCACAAAAAAUACCAUAACUAUAUAUUUUGAUAAGUUGAGGGACCAAUGGUAAUGGAUUUUUAGUUGAGGGAUUAUUGCUUCAAUUUGGGUACAGAUGAUGAACAAUUGCUACAAUUUACUCAUUAUUUUUUAAGUUGUUAAUUUUUUAGCACAAGUAUCUCAUCACUAGUAUAGUGAAACGUGGUAUAUCACCUCAUAUUUCUGGCACAUUGAAAAGUCUCUUUAACUGGUGACACAUCAUAUGAUUUAAAAAUGUAAUCUAAAAGGUGGGUCAACCUAACAUGAUUCAAUUAAUAUAGACGAGUCUAUUAAAACAAUAAAGAAAGUCUAUCGAGGAGUAGAAAAUCGGAAAGGCAAAACUCGUCCUUGCUAUUCAGUUGCCUCUUGGACGCUUACACACACAUAAUCAGAUCAAGAGCUUAAGGGGCAACUCCCGUUGUGGAGCCAAAAAUAAUCAAGAAACUUAUGGAGGUAACACGUGGACUUUUGGGUGAAAAUGACAAAAUUACCCUCGAGACACACUGAGAUUCCCAUGCGCAUGCAACAAACAAUAACAGUUUAAUCAAGGAAGAGUAAAAUGUGAUCAAAAUGGUAUUUAUUAAAAUCCCUCUCAUCACUCCUCAUCAAAUCUUUAUUCAAAAGAUAACUCCCAAUUUUCCUAUUCAAUUUAGGUUUAAUUGCCAAGUUAAUUGCAAGAUAUUAUUUCACAUAAUAUCUUGUAAUUAUACUCACAAUUUGACCAAAUAUGGCCUGCCCCUAUUCUCCAAAUAGGGCCGGUCACUAUCCUAUAAAUAGCCAUAUUCUCCCACUAAAAAGCUAAGUUAUUUGCUACCCACAAACUCCUAAACACAUUCUUUUUAGAAUUCUAACUUUGGCAUCCAAGAUUCUUCGAUCAAAGCCCCCCCUCCCUAUUCAUCGUGGGUGUGUGAGGCUUUUGGCCUUAAUCUUAAGUGUGAUUAUUUUGCAGGUGGAUUUUUAUCAAAGGAGAAGAUGGCGAAAAUUUGCAUCCACAAAUUGGUGUUUUCAUUAAGAGUCUUGAUUCACUUGCUCAAAGAAGACUCUUGCACUCAAAGUUUCUCAUUUUUCGUUCGUUUGUAAAUUUUUCAUACUUUCUUAAUCCUAUAAUUUUUUAAUUUUUUGAAUAGAGGUAAAGGAAAAAUACAAUGACGGGAAAUUCGGAAACCAUGACGAACGGAACUUCCUAAAUUCAAAGAUCCAAAUCAAAUGAUGGAGGACGAGACGUAGCCUCACCAUGACGAUCCAUGAGGCUCAACGCAAUUGCAAGAGGAGCAACUUUGCCACCAUGGAGCACCACCACCAUGGCAGCCACAGAGACCACCAUGGCAGUGGGGAGUUGGCCAGCUCCAUGGCAGUAGGACCAUCAGGCCACGACCCAAGAGCCACAAGCCCUAGAGACAGCCUAGUUUACUACCACUUAAGUUGCCCAAACUACUGCCCUAGCAGCGCAAGCCCAAGCUUCGUCCACUUGGCACACGGCCCAAUCUGCAGCCUAUGCUGCAAGGUAGUCGAGCUAGGCCUAGUGCGAGCCAGCCCAAGCCACUACCUCAGCAGCGCAAGCCCAGGCAGCUACGACAGAAGAAGCAGCCCAACGCUUGCAGGCCCAAGGCCAGCACGAGCCCAGCGCACUCCCGAGUUGAGCCCAGGCCCAACGCCCAUGUGCACUGUGGGGCAAUCUACGCCAAUGGUCCGACCUGCUUAUGCGAUCCAAUUCAAGGUCCAGCCCACUCCCGUGACCCUCCAAGCAAUCCCAACCGGCCUAAGAUCGGUUCAACCGUCCCGACUUCAAAUUUCUGGACCGAUGAUUGAACCGGGGAUAUUUUCACCCCAUUUAUUAGCAAAUUUACCAUAUCCCAACUCAAAUCUCGCACCCAAAGCCCAUUACACUUCCAUUACUCAAGGUGACGUAUACCGUCCAAACUCUUCCAACCCAAAUGGCGAACAACACUUGUCUCAACAAAUCAUAAAGUUGACAAGCGCUCUCGUGCAACAGACGACCUUAGUGAAUCACGACCAUGGCAAUUUCUUACACGACCCGUUAACACAACACAUAAACAACACGAACAUAAUGGAUUUCGAGUAAACAUCAUAACUAAUCGGAUCAUUAUCAGGUCACACGAUAACAACCCGUUCAUAACGGGUCCUUAACAAGUUUACACGAGAGUGACACGUAGGUAACCUAUUUCAACAUGAUAAGAAAAAAAUUAUUUUGGUGAUUUUAAUUUUUUAAACUACUAAAAAAAACUUACUAUAAAAUAUAAUAGAUAUAAUGAAUAUGUAUAUAUUGUUUAUUAAUUAUUAUUCUAUAUAAAUUUUAAAGUUUAUUUAUUUAUUUUUAUAGGAUAUUAUAGGCAAAGAUUGUGAUUAAAAAUCAAAAAACACAUUAAAAAAAUAUCAAGUAAUUUAAAAAUGCCAAACACAUUAAAAAAAUUAUAAUAAUUAAUUUACAUGUGCGAAAAAUAUGAAAAAAAAAUAUGCAAGCGCUCGUAAAAUUAAUAAUAAUUAUUGUAAAAGUGUGAAACAUGUAAUCACCUGUAAUGAAAAGCUUUACAACUUUCAUGAAGGGGUCAACUCCGUAAUUUAGUAUGUAUAUACUAAUUAGUAUUAUGUUUUACAUUUUUUGGGUCAAAUUAUGUUUUUCAUUUUCAUUUUUAUUGAUUUAAAAUAUAUUUUUCUUAACGGGUAACAGGUCGGGUUAUAUUACCUGAUAAUAUUAACAGGUUGAUUUCGGGUCGGACCAUAUUACUCGUUUACUUUAACGAGUAUUACACGACACAAUCCGUUAAGGUAUCGAGUAUGACACGAAAACGACACAAACAGGAGAAACAAGACAUGAAUACCAGGUCUACUUGCAGCGUACCGAGAUGCAGCAUGCCCCAAACAAGGUGUCCCAAAGUAGGACAAGGGCAGACGAUGAAUUUCUCUAGCAAUGUCUUGGAAAACAACUCUUCGACCAGCCACGGACCGAGUGUUUGGGCAAUGUACACUCUCGACUGGGCCCCUGAGAUAGCAUAUAUUCUCAUCUUAUCGUGCAAAGGAGCGUGCACUCUCGGUUAUGCCCACGGACGAGCAUACACUCAUAGUUGGAGCCACACUUUGAUAGUCAACAUGAGUAACCUUCUAGGCGAAGUGUUCAUUCGCGACUAGGCUCGCAAGGAGCAACCUCCACCUCACAUCAAAGUAGACAGCACGACGGACGGAGAGAAGUGUCACUUAAUCCUACUUAAGUUCAACGACAACCUGAGAGAAAUUCGUUAGCUUGCUAGGAACGUACCACAUGCAUUGCAGCCACGACAUAGAUGAGCCAAACACAUGGAAGAGCAACCUAGACCAGCAGGUCAAGACCAGGGGCAGCCGAGAGCUCCGCUAACCCCAACAAAGGCAAAUUCAGAAGGAAGUACAGAAGUUCCUGACCAAGCGAUUGCACGAUUACAACGCAACGAGGUCACUGAUGAGGCACUACGAUGAGACAUAACCAACAUAAGGAUGUCACUCUUCACAGAUAAGACCGAGCAGGCAGAGCCUUCACGCAAAUUCAACAUGCCACAUUUCACAUUUUUCAAAGGAGAUGGAGACCCAAAGAGGCACCUAAAGCAUUACUAAAGCGUAAUGAUCUUUAUUCAAAUAGCGUCACUCUCAUGUGCAAAAUAUUCAUUAUCACUUUACAAGGCAAGGUGUAAGAUUGGUUCCACACCCUACCGCCACAAUCCAUCUGGAGUUUCGAUGAGCUUUCUUUGGUUUUCACCAAAGAGCAUUCAUCCUAUCACUCACUCAGGAAGAAGUCUAACCACUUGUUCAACGUCAAGAAGAACUCAAAUGAGUCGCUCUGUGACUAUGUGAAGAGGUUCAAAGUAGAGAAGGCAAAGAUAGUUGGAUGCGACAACUUGAUAGCUAGUGUAGCCUUCCAAAAAGGACUCACAACACACCACUUGUUGUUCGGGGAAUUGAUCAUGAAAGAAGAUCUAACUUUGGCAGCCUUUUUUGCUCUGGCAAAGAAGCAAGCACUUUGGGACUAGGCUUAGUAAGUAGACAAGGCACCCGAGCAGCCUCGAAAAGAAUCGGCAAUAACUUAAAAUAAUGAGGACGUGAAGCAGUACAACAACAAAAGCAAGCAGGAGGCCAAACAUAGAGACCUAACUAAAGGAGGCCAAACAUAGAGACCUAACUAAAUGAGGCCUAACACCCAAGAACUACUCUAAGUUCUCGAUCCUAAUCCACUACAUCAAGAGCGAACCUUGGUUCAAGCUACUGAAGCAAUCAGAGGGAGAUACCUCCAAGUUGGACCACACCAAGUAUUGUGUAUUCCAUCGAGGUCUCAAUCACACAACUGACGACUGCUACAAUUAGAGAAACUACCUAGAGAAGUUCAUGAAAGAAGGGAAGGUCGACAAAUAAUUGGACAACCCAGUUGCGCAUCUUAGAAGAAACGUAGAUGCCGACGAAGAGCCGCCGACCAAGAUGAUUUCGAUCAAUGGCAUAUUCGCCGAAUCUGAGCACUUGAGGGCCACUAACAACUCCAAGAAAAUGAAGAUUCGAUAGGCUUAUUAGUCUCUCAAGUCUAGGUAGUCAACACCCAACCUAGUCCAUCAUUGGCUUCACCGAGCAAGAUGCCGAAGGCAUCAACUUCCCAUACAACAACACAUUAGUGGUUUCUGUCCAAUUAGCCCACGUUAUAGUCGACAGAAUGAUGGUUGACAAUGGUGCAGUUAACCUACUCAUACUCUCAGUCAUUCAACAUAUGGACCUGGAAAACACGAUCAUACACUGAGUAGAGGUAUACAUCGAAUUCAAAGGUCACACCUCGACUACCAUCGAUAAAAUAACACUUGACAUGAAAACACCCCUAGUGGUCUUAAAGCAGAUGUUCACAAUAGCUAGCAACCCGUUUCUCUAUAAUAGGAUUCUAGGUCGGUACUGUCUAGUGAGACUGAGUGUGGUAACCUCUAUCGAGUAUCAGAAAAUCUAAUUUCGUAACCCAAGAGGAGGAGUCGAAGAGAUCAAGUCAAACCAGGCCACAUUUCGGCAAUACGCUGUGCAAGUACUGAAUGAGUUAAAGAAUAAGUCAUUUACCCCCGUAAAGGCUACUAAAGUGUAAAAAGACAACUCUACCAUAACCAAAGACGGGUCAAGAAGCAUCAAUCACAUAUUUAUUAACCCAAAGCAGCGGUUAGACCACAUCAACAACUUAGUGGAGGCAAGAAGCCUAACCUUACUGAUGUACAAUCAAGGAAAGUCCGAGCAAUCUUGAAUAUGAAGUUCCCUACUACUCUUCAGAAGAUUCAAGUUCUAACCAGAAGAGCAGCUGCACUCAAGCUUUUACCCUUGUGGUUCACCAACCAACGUUAACCCUUUUUCGACUAAAUCAAAAAAGAGCAACAAGACAAAUAGAACGACGAGUGCAAGAAAACAUUGAAUGACUUAAAGAAGUACUUGACAUCACCUCCUUACUAUCUAAGCCAGAAGUAGCAGAAGACUUAUACAUCUACUUAGCAGUCUUGGAAGUAGCAGCGAGUUCUGCCUUCAUGUGAGAAUAGUUGGGGGCUCAACUAUCGGUAUUCUACACUUUUAAAGCUCUUCUUAAUACGUAAACCAAUUAUCCAAAGAUCAAGAAAUUAAUUUUGCUGCUAGUUGUUGUGGCUCAGAAGCUCAGACCAUAUUUUCAAGCUCAUACAAUCAUCGUCAUGACUCAGUAUCCUCUACGAUCAAUCCUACAUGGUCCAGAUGCUUCUCAACGAGUAAUGAAAUGGGCUUUGGAACUUGGCCAAUAUAGCUUAGUUUUCUGACCUUGCACGGCAAUAAAAGCCCAAGCCUUGGCAGACUUUAUAGCAGAAUUCACGCAUAGCCUAGGCAACGCAAUAGAGCGAUCUAAUGACACACCGAAGGCAACCGAGCACGCCCUAGCCAUGUCUGCUUCACCCAAUAGAGGCUUCUAGCAUUUGCACGUUGACAACGCAUCCAACUACAAGGACUGAGGAACAGGUGUGGUCCUUGUCACGCUAGAUGGUUUGAUGCUCAAGCAGGCAAUCACUCUAGGCUUCAAAGCAUCCAACAAUGAAGCAGAGUACGAAGCCCUACUAGCAGUGAAAAAGCUUGUAAUUCAUUCUGAUUCCCAACUAAUCACCAGCCAGACUACUGGGGAGUACACGACAAAACAUCCAAAGAUGGCGUAAUACCUAGAGAAGGUAUAAGAGCAACUUGAGGCGUUUCAGACUUACACCCUCACUCAAGUUCCGUGGGUAAACAAUGCCCACGCGAAUGCGCUAGCUGGCCUGGGCUUUGGCCUCAACAAUCAACUCGAACAAUCUAUUCCGGUAGAAUAUCUAGACAAGCCAAGCAUAGAGGUGGAGCCAGCAGCUGAGGUGUCAAAGGUUAAUACAACUCUAAAUUAGCAAGAUUUCAUUAUAGGCUACCUAGUCAAUGGCACACUUCCCAUGGAAAGAUUGGAGUCUAGAAAGCUCUAAACAAAGGCAACACACUACUUCAUGUGGAAUGACAUUCUCGUCUGAAGAUCCUAUACUGGACCACAUCACCGCUGCCUAGCGUAUCUCAACGACCUAAAGAUUCUCAGUUCAAUCCACGAAGGCAUUUAUGCAAAUCACUCUGGAGGCUGAUCUUUAGCACAUAAAGCUUUUAACAUAUGCUACUACUGGCCUAUUAUGCAUUAAGAUGCUAAGGAGUUAGUACAAAACUACGACCGCUGCCAACGCUACAAGCCGGUACCAGCACUGCCUGCCAGUGAACUAUACCCGUAGACGAGUCCUUGGCCAUUCAUGGAGUGGACAAUCAACUUGGUAGGGCCUAUGUCACUCACUACUGGGGGCAAAAACAUGGUGAUCGUGGCAACUGAAUACUUUACCAAAUAAGUGGAAGCAGAGCCUAUGACAACCACAACUUAGACGAACAUAGAGCACUUCAUAUGGAGGAACGUCAUUUGCCGAUUUGGCAUCCCUCAAUCAACUGUCACAGACAACGGCCCUCAAUUCAUAAGCAAAGAUUUGGUGUAGUUUUUCCAGAAAUAUGGCAUCAAGCAACACAUGUCCACACUAAGGUAUCCAUAAGGCAAUGGGUAGGACAAAGUAUCCAACAAGACAAUUCUCGACUGCCUCAAGAAAUCCUUCUCCGAAAAGAAGGGAAAAUGGCCAAACGAACUUCCGGAUGUCAAUAGGCGUAUUGCACAACCGAACAAGAAGUAACCGGUGAGACUCAUUUCUCUUUGGUAUUUGGUUAAGAAAUAAUCAUUCAUCCCAAUGUCAGCGUGCCAAGUAUCAACACUCUACUGCCAAGCAUCGAUCAGAACAGAAAAGAGAUGGCCACAAACUUAGAUCUGGCAUAGGAGAUACACGAGAAAGUCAUCACCCGCAUCACAGCCUAUCAGCAAUAGCUCAUUUCUAGUUACGACAAAAGGGCCAAGAUACAGCAGUUCUAGUCUGGAGACAUAGUCCUUAGAAAAGCCUUCAUCACUGUCCAUAGAAAAAGCUCUACCAAGAUGAAUCCCAUCUGGGAAAGUCUGUACAAGAUCAGCAGAGUAUGCAGCAAGGGUAGCUUCCCCCCUCGCCACCAUGAACGACAAAGAGAUUGAAAAAUAAUGGAACGACUACAAUAUGAGGAAGUGUCAUACGUGACCUCCCGCUACAUUAAAGCCCGAAAACUCAAGCAUCUCGACGGGAUCACCUCGCAAACUGAGGACUAUCCAGUUGUUAUUUAGUUCCUGCCUUACAACUAAGUUUUUGUUCGUUUCACUCGUUUUUCAAUGAGGAAUUCAGAAGUAAUUUACAACUUGGCUCGCCUACAUGCUUACAACAACUGAUCACUCCUACACUUCAAAAGAAGAUCGCGCCCUUCUUAGGGACUUAUCACAAGAAUUGCACCCUCUAUGACCAACCAUGCUCUCCAGUGUGAGAUGGUAAACUAAUUCCCCGACACCAAUAUGGGUAUGCUCUCUGAUGUGAGAGGAUAAGCUAUACACUCCAAAUAUCCAGAUGUGGAUAAAUCGGGUUGCCCUAGUAUAACGAGGUGCAUGAUAGCUUGCGUUGGGAUUCCUAAAAGUAGCCAUAAUGGUCUUUUUCAAGGCUUAGCUAACUGAAGGAUUUUUUUGCUCUUGGCCUAAUUCGCGGGGAAACGAGCCUCAGAGACGGAGGAGGCACAUUAUGCAGUACACCCUAUAAACGGCUGCCCUGGAACCCUAAAGCUGCUACCGAGUGCAUUAAGGUAGCUUAUGGUUUCCAGAAGACUGCCUACGGCUUGCCCUUCGAGCAGUAAGCCCGGCUAACCUUAUAAAACCACAUAUUUUUAUGAAACGUUAAAACAGUUAGAGUGCAUAUACGAAGCUCUAUCCACUACGGACAUGCUACGUAGUUGAUAAGCUUCACUUCUACCAAAGCGCGGAAUGAUUGUUUAAAUCUACACUAAUUCCUAAGGUGUUGUGAUACUUGCUACGCAACCCACAUAAUUGGUUACAUAAAAGGCAAGAAGUUCUUUCAGACCUUUGUUUACGAAAUUACAUACAACCUCGUACUUUUGAUACGAAGGUUCAGCGAAUUUCAUAACCCAAAAAUCUUUAGUAUGUUGUGAUCCAGGCCACACAACUUAAAAGAAUAAAGAAAGCAAAGGUUAAUAGCAAAAUGGUUACACGGACUCGUCUGCUUCUGUAAGUAAGGCGUCCGGCUGUCGACCCUAUGGCUAACAAAUUUGUAAAAGUUCUACACUAAGACCUACAGUUGCAUAGGCUACAUGGGCCUGGCUGCUUAUAGAAAAGCAGUACACCUGCCACUGGUCUAAAGGUCAAAGGUUGGGCGUAAACAAAAGAAGCGAUGGUGAAGAAAAGUGAAGGAAUCAAGUUUAUUAAAUUUUCUAGCAAAAUUAAUAAACAAAUAGCAAAGGUCAAAUGAGUUCAAGCAAAGCAAAAAAAAAAAAAAAAAAAAAAAAAAAAAAGACAAAAAAAAUCUUAUAGGCUACCUAGAAGACUACUCUUCAACAGCUUGAUCAUAUCAUGACUACGCGGUCGCCACACCUUCAGCAGCCGUGAUGCUCUCAGCGGCUGCAUCAUUGAUUGCUUCACCCGUGGCUGCCUCAGCUUGGGCACCAAAUUCUAUGACUACUUCACCAAUGGAAGCCUAAAAAAUAAAGGCAAUCAAGUCUUCUAGAGAAAUAGAGAAGGUCUCAAAGUCUUUCCUAGCAAACUCAAAGUCAGAUAGCCUACCAAAGAGAUAAUCUGCAUAACCCAGCUUGUAGAAAUUGGCCUGACUCUGAAUAAGCGAAGCCUCAAGCCCCGCAUUCUCGCCCUUUAGCUGCUCGUUCUCCUCGAGUAGACCAACACAGACACACUGAAGCUCAUCCACUUCCUUCUUCAUAUUUUCGUUGAUCUUCAAUGCACCUUAGAGUUUUAACAUUUUAAGCUCAAGCCUAUCGACGACUUUCUUGAAGUGGAUCACUUGAUUAUAAGUAGCAAUCAACUCUUCAUCCUUUGCGUAAGCAGUAGAAUGAAUCUUAGAAACAAAACACUCAAGAUCUUGAAUCUGAGGUAUGUAACAUCCAAUCUCCUUCUCUACACUUUCAUACUUAACUUAGAUCAUGUCAAGCCUAGUCUUCAAGUCAACGAUCUUCUAGCGAGCGGUCUCAAGCUGCAGAGAAAUUGAGGUAGAGAUAUUGAACCCUUUCAAAGCGACGAGCUUAGACUCUAACCUCUUAAUCUUCUCGGCAGAAAAAUAAGCUUCAGCUACCAUAGUCUUUGCCAUCUCCUUAGCAACCUUGGUAUCCUCUUGGUCAAAGAGCAUAGACUCGGCUGCCAGAAUCACCGUUUUUUGCAUCAUAGCAAGCAGAACAUUCAUUCUGUAUUGGAUCGUAUGCUUCGCAAAGGAACUUGGGCAAAUAACCCCUCUAACGCCAUCAACAAGCUUGGCACACGCGUCCAUGUCUUCAAGUAGAUCUGACUUCAAAAUCACACAGAUCUCAGUAGCCUCUCCGCAAACAAACUUGGUGGAUUUCUCACAACUGCCCACGUAAGCAUUCUCCUCUUUCCACUACUACAAUAUUAGCUUUAGGUGGCGGAUGAUGGUGGCGGAUAUUAGAAAAUCAUGUCAGAUAAAUUAUAUCCGACACAUCAUUUAAUUAUUGGCGGAUAUUAGAAAAAUUCAUGUCGGUUAUAUCCAACAUAAAUUCAUGGCAGAUAUUUACUGGCGGAUAUCAAGAAAAUACUGGUGGAUAUUUACUGGCGGUAUUUUUUAAUCUUAUUUUUUUAAUAUUUUUUACAUAUUCUGGCGGUUUUUAAGUUAAUGGUGGCGGUUAUAACCCACAGAAAUUGACUAUUUUAUUAUUUUACUUUAUGGCGGUUAUUAUUUUAGUAUUCUGGUGGUUAUAACCGAUAUAAAUGAAAAUUUUAUUAUUUUAAAAUGUUAUAUUGAUUAAAAAUAAAUAAAUAAACACAUAUUUGAAAUUUUUUUUUUUUCACUCAUGACCCUAAAGUCUAAUGAACCCAAUUCCCACAAGCCAUAAAUUUUAUGAGAGAAUAAUAACAACAGACUACAAUCUAAAGCUCCAUCAUUUUUGUAAUAAGGAUUAUGCUCCCUCACAGGCAAGCAACAAGAUACAAAGAAAUUUAAACAAUUUUUUCCAAUGCGUCACAAUGCACAUUGUCUGGCACAUAAACACACAUGAACAUUUGGUGUACUUUAUCAUGUCUGAUUUUAUUAUUUUAAAACAUUAUAUUGAUUAAAAAUAAAUAAACACAUGUUUUAAAUAUUAUAUUUUUUGUGAUUUUUUACACAUGCUAUCUCAUAGUAUAUACGAACAUAUUUGAUGGUUGGAUUGUUGAAACUAGUUUCGUAGAAUGCAUAUCCUAUCAAAUUGAUAGAUUUAACAAACACUUAAAGAGUUAAUGUUAUACUUCCAUUAAGUAUAAAAUAAGAUUUAUCCACUAGUGUAAAUAUUUUAAAUUGAAGAUCGAAUUCAUUCAUUGCAUUCUUAUAGGAUCGAGGAGUGUAGCUGCAAAAAAUCAUCAAAAUCAAAGCUAAAAUAACCGUUAAAUUGUGAUUUUUCGUUUAUAACUGUAAAAAACUUUUGUUUUGUUACCUAAUCUCUGAACGUUCGUUUUUUGUAUUUUUUAUCUAUGUGAUCUCGGAGUGUGUACAAACAAGUUUGACGAUUAGAUCAUUGAAAAAAGUUUCGUAAAAUGUGUAUCACGUCAAAAUGGUAGAUUAAAUAAACACUUAAGAGUUAAUGUUAUACUUCCAUUAAGUAUAAAAUAAGAUUUUGUGGUAUCCACUAGUGUAAAUAUUUUAAAUUGAAGAUCAAAUUUAUUCAUUACAUUCUUAUAAGGUCGAGGAGUGUAGCUAUAAAAAAUCAUUAAAAUUGGAGCUAAAAUAACCGUUAAAUUGUGAUUUUUCGUUUAUAACCGUCGAAAACUUUUGUUCCGUUACAUAAUCUGUGAAUGUUUGUUUUUUACGAUUUUUUACGUAUGCAAUCUCGGAGUGUGUACAAAUAAGUUUGAUGGUUCAAUCGUUGAAAAACGCUUCAUAGAAUGCGUAUCGCAUCAAAAUGGUAGAUUGAACAAACACUUAGAGUUAAUGUUAUACUUCCAUUAAGUAUAAAAUAAGAUUUAUCCACUAGUGUAAAUAUUUUAAAUUGAAGAUCGAAUUCGUUCAAUGCGUUCUUAUAGGGUCGAGGAGUGUAACUGUAAAAAAUCAUCAAAAUCGGAGCUAAAAUAACCAUUAAAUUGUGAUUUUUUGUUUAUAACUGUCGAAAACUUUUGUUUUGUUAUCUAAUCUCUGAACGUUUUUUUUUUGUGAUUUUUUACGUAUGUGAUCUCAAUGACACACCCCGUCCCAAAGAAGGCCAUGUUGGCCGUCACAUGAGUGUGACGUAACCAUUUACACAGUUCGGAAGCUUUAAAGAUACAAUUACUAAGAUGAAACACCCGAGGGUGAGUCCUACUUUUGUGAAUUCUGUCAGAACACCGUUGGAUUCCUCGUGGCCAUCAAAGCUCUGCUAUCUAGAACCUGGAGGGGCACAAAACAAAGUUGAGUGGGUCAGUAAAACAAAGUUUUUCGAAAACAUUUCUAAGCCCUCGUUGUAAAACCUGUAUACUUUCCCAGAAAAUAACAUAAUAGGAUAUACCGUCAAAUAUCUCAAAUCAUCAAUCUUUAUCAAAACCAGAAAGUAUGUCAUGCUAUAAUGUCAAAAACAGAAUAUGGAUGCAUCAAUAUAACAAGUGAAAUAAGGAAUCAACCGGAGACCCUGUAGUUGGUCCUGUACGGUUAAUUUUAUAGCUCAAUAUCCAAUCCAACCGGAGUCAGCACGGUGACCUGUACGGCGCUACUCUGCACAUAAGUCGGAACUACCUGAAGUAGUCUGUACGACAAGAAUGGUGUAAUAAUACGCUCUAGUGCUUCUCUCAUAAAUCAUCUGUGCACAUAAUCUAAGGUCACCUACUAGUCAGAAUCACCUCUAGUGGUCUGUACGACUAGCAUGUCGGAACCCUCUAUUGGUCUGUACGACAUGCACCUACUUGGAUCCAAGGUGAGCGUGCGGUGCGGGUGAAUAAUAUAAGCACUAACACCAAGGGUGCAACUUAUGAGCUCUCAACACAAUUCACAUCAUCAAUGAUUCACAUGAAUAACAUAAAACUCACCUGAUACUCACCUGUGCGUCCACAGCACCAAUUCACAUAUAUAUAUGCAUCAAUUAUCAAUUCAUAUAUCUCAUAAUAUGCAUGCAUGGCAUUUUAAAACGUACUUUCAUUUAAACUCAAUUUCUGGGAAAAAAUAUCAAUAGUAUAUAGGUAUAAACAGAAAUACUGCCCACUCACCUGGAGUUUGCCCAACAACUCCCUAGCACAACACAUCAAGGCGUCAUGACGAUCGGCGCCUAGAACAAUGAUCAAAUCCAGCCUCAGAAAUCAUAUCGAUAGAAUAUAUAACUUAUAUAAAACACGUCACUACAUAGUUCGAUUCGGAAGAUCUGCAACUCAUAUUUCAAAUCCAUAACUUCCAGAGGUCCACAAUAUACCUCUAGGACAACAUCCUAAAAUUUCAUUACCAUCCAACGGUCAGAUCUCCGUCAAUUUCCAAACCCAAGUGACGGUUAACAUUCUAUUUUAUGAACUUACAACUCCAAUUAUGAAAGAUCCGUAAAUUGGAUUCCCGAUCCGUAAGUUCCUAUAAUCCUCAAAUAUUACGUAUUAUAACGUAUCAAAGUUUGGUGACGAUCCAACGGUCGGAUCGUCAAUUCACAUUUUCACCUAACCACGAAUCGAAACGAACUAAGAUUCAAUUACUCAAUUUACGUCCAUCAAUUAUCAAAACUGAACCUAGAACAUUAAACACAUGCUAAGAAUAACAUUGGCGGGCCAUUGGCCACACGCCGCCACACGGGCCGCCGCGGGUGGCGGUCGGCCGCCUCGGCUUGCCGGAAAAUCCAACUAUUUCCAAAAAUUCUCAAAAAAAUACAAAAUUGAAGAUCUCAAUGAGUAGAGUAAACUUUAUACCUGAGGCCAAGGCCAAUUUGGCCUGGAAACACUUCAAUUUCACCAAAAUCCGAGCGGACCAUAGAAUUGGGUGAGUUCCAAUUCGUCCUCAAAUCAACUCCGAUGCUCCAACUAAUGCUUGGGCUUUAUUCUAGGCCUCAAGAGGAAGCUAUGGGUGGUGGCAAUUGGAAGAAAUUGCUUCGGGAUUGGGUGAUUAGAAGCCAAAGCCGCGCGCACCCUUCCUUGCGGUUUUCUCCAUUUUCAAAGCCAAAUCUCUCCAAUUUUGAGAUGGAAUGGGUAGAGGAAGGCUCCUAGAGUGUUUCCCAUGAGGUUUCUUGAAGCAAUUCGCCGGAAAAAAAGGUGAAAAUCGUCGAAAAAAUAGAGAUGGGUGCGCGGGUAAACGGGUUGGGGAAAAUCCCGUCUAUGAUCUUCUCUCCUCCGCUUCUCGCCCUUUCUCCUUUCCUCCUUUCCUCUGUUCUGAUUGGCCAUCCUCUCCUUCUCUCUUCUCCUGAUUCGUCCCCUCCUUCUUCUUUCAGAUUGGGCAGUUUUGCACAAUCCCAUUUUUUUUUCAUUUCUUCUUUCUUCCCGACUACCCAAUCCUCAUUCUUCUUCUUCUUCUUACGCGCACACACCCACAAACCUUCUUCUCUCAUCCCAGCCAUUCAUUUAAUUCUUCAUUAAAUCUGGGCCGUCCGUUAUCAUAAAAAAAUUUCUAGAUUUUACUAAAUUAUAAUUCCUAAAAUGCCCAAAUUUCAAACGUUAAUAAAUUCUUCGAUAUAACUCCAAAUCACGCACCGUCUACGCCCACGCGUCCGUAGCGACGGGUACUAUGAGGAUAUGUCAAGAAAAAAAAUCUUAGAUGGCACGACACAAUGAUUAACCUCGAAUAAUGCGUGUGCCUCAAAGGGCAUUUUUGUAAAAUCCUUUAUUAAAACUUUAAAACUCUUAAAAUCAGGGACGGGCUGUCACACUCAAAGUGUGUACAAACAAGUUUGACGGUUUGAGCAUUAAAAAAAGUUUCGUAGAAUGUGUAUCGCGUCAAAAUGGUAAAUUAAAUAAACACUUAAGAGUUAAUGUUAUACUUCCAUCAAGUAUAAAAUAAGAUUUUGUGGUAUCCACUAGUGUAAAUAUUUUAAAUUGAAGAUCAAAUUCAUUCAUUACAUUCUUAUAGGGUCGAGGAGUGUAGAUGUAAAAAAUCAUUAAAAUUGGAGCUAAAAUAACCGUUAAAUUGUGAUUUUUCGUUUAUAACCAUCGAAAACUUUUGUUUCAUUACGUAAUCUGUGAAUGUUUUUUUUUUUACGAUUUUUUAGUAUGCAAUCUCAGAGUGUGUACAAAUAAGUUUGACGGUUCGAUCUUUGAAAAACUCUUCGUAGAAUGCAUAUCGCAUCAAAACGGUAGAUUAAACAAACACUUAGAGUCAAUGUUAUAAUUCCAUUAAGUAUAAAAUAAGAUUUAUCCACUAGUGUAAAUAUUUUAAAUUGAAGAUUGAAUUCGUUCAAUGUAUUCUUAUAGGGUCGAGGAGUAUAGCUGUAAAAAAUCAUCAAAAUCGGAGCUAAAGUAACCGUUAAAUUGUGAUUUUUCGUUUAUAACCGUUGAAAACUUUUGUUUUGUUACCUAAUCUCUUAAUGUUUGUUUUUUGUGAUUUUUUACGUAUACGAUCUCGAAGUGUGUACAAACAAGUUUGACGGUUAGAUCGUUCAAAAACGCUUCGUAGAAUGCAUAUCACAUCAAAACGGUAGAUUAAACAAACGCUUAGAGUUAAUGUUAUACUUCCAUUAAGUAUAAGUGUAAAUAUUUUAAAUUGAAUAUCAAAUUUAUUCAUUAGACUAUAUUUAUUUAUGUUUUUCAAGUAUUGAUUAGACAAUAUUUAGUUUGUGUGAUGACAUUUUCAUUGUACAAUUCUUUUUUAGUUUCUUUAUUGCAUAUUUUACAUGCAUUAUUCUCUAUUAAACCAAAAGUGUAAAAAUUAUCUAUUAAACCAAACAAUUAUUUAUUUAAUUUUUAAAAACAUAUGCUAUUUAAAUACAUAUUAUUUAUUUAUUUAUUAAACCAAAUAAUUAUUAUUUUAUUUUUUUAAAUCGUAACAAAAUUUUGGGGGGAAUUUUAAAUUUUGAGGGAAAUUUUAAAAUUUUCAAAGGAAAUUUUAAAAUUUUCAGAGGGAAUUUUGCCACCAUUUUGGUUCUGUUGAUUAUAACCGAAAGUAAUGAAAUUUGUCGGUUUUUAUUUAAAAAAAAUGUUCCUGUCGGUUUUAACUUACAAUAAUUAAAAUAACCUAAAUUUUUAAAACCCCUCCAUCUUCCUUGCGCCGAUGCUUCUUCCUUCCCCCUAUUCUCCUGUCCUCAUUUCCUUCUCCUUCUCCUCUCUUCUUUUCUAUUCUGUUCGAACAGUUGCAACCCAUUCCAACCAACAAUUCCACACACACUGCAGAUAAACUCUCUUUCUCUCUCUCGUUGGUGUCUGUCUCACACUCACAGCACAGUAGCUAAGCUACCAAGCUUAGCUAGCUAACAGAAAGUUAUUAGUCGUCCCUCAUACUCUCUCCCUCUCUUUGUCUCUGGGGAUUAUAUGCAUGAGAUGUAUACCCUAUUCUAUAUAUUUUCACGUUGCUACAUCUCAUCUCGUUAAAGCCCCGGCCUCUCUCUCUGUUUCUGGGAAUUGAAAUUACAACACGAACCAACUCAUCUACUUCUUCUUGUUCAAGCUUGAGAAGUUGCAGAGUUCCCAUAGCGGACAAUCUUGACCAGUCCUUCCCCCUUCUUCAAGAAAUCCUAAACUCGCUCUCCCAAUCAGUCGAUCAACCUCAAACCUCCGUCUUAGAACUUAUCAGCUUCCUUAAUUCAACCCUAGAUGCCGCUCUGUCAAACCCAGAAAAUGAAGACGCAAAAGCCAACACCUUUCGAGCUCUCACGAAAGUCCACCAAUUCGUCUCUUCCCCUUCACUCGACCAGGUUUCGUUUCGUUAAAGUCGUUUGCUUUCGGUCUUUUGCUUGUUUGUGCAGUUUGAUGUUUACCAACUGUUUGAUUGUUUGCCCAAGCGAUCAUCGAAGCACUCUUCUUUGAGUUGCCAAUGGCGGUUUCAAAUUUCGAAGGUGUCUCUGAUGGAUGCCUGGAGGUCGUUGAGUGCACCUUUGCUUUUAUAUCAUUGUGUAGUCCACGAGACAUGCUUUUGAUUCUUUGUGAGGUAUGUGGCCCUUUUAGUGAUUUUUAUGUGAACUUGAUACUUGUUGUAUUGAUGGUUUUGUUGGGUUUUUAGUUCUUUGAUGAUUUUUUAUUGUGAAUGGCUUCUUAUCAGAAAUUAUUAAACAUCGGAUUUGCUAUUUUGGUUGCGCAGCUAUGCAGUUUCUCUCUCCAAUCCAUCGAUCAGUCCACUCGAUUGCUUGGAAUAAUUUGAAGGUAGUUAAAUUACUUUGCUUCUUUUCCGAUCGACUGUAUAUAUUAGUGCUAGCGGAUGUUGCUGCCUUGGAAGUCAACAAUAUUCCUUCAGCUCAAUUGUUUACUUGCGGUACAUACCUUCCUUUUGAUCAUUACAAUUCUUAGUUACCAUUCAUUGGAAUAGUUUUGGCCGUGUAUGUAUAGAGUAGCUAAAAUUUGGGGAACUAUGGGUACGAAUUUAAACUUGCUAAAAUUUGUAUGUACAUAGUGGAUAAAUGGUUAAUGAUUUCAAUAAAGAACUGUUCAUUGGACUGUGGUUUCGAUAGAGGGUGAUUGAUUUUCAUGGUUGAUAUGAGCUUUGCUUUUACUUCGUUGUAGAACUUUAAUCAACACCUGACUUUGAACCAGGGUUGGAUGAAGUGAUGGAGGGAGGCAGAUAAUGGUGACAUACGGUGGGGAUGGGUAGAGGGGUAAGAUGACGGGUCGUGGACUGAGAAAACGGUGCCCAUUAUUGCUCCCUUGUCUAAGACUUUAAGGGCCCUGUGAAGAGAAAUUUAUGAGAUUUCAUGUGGGAUUUCUAGUGACUAGCAUGCAUAUACAAUUCAAGAUUUAUAUACGAAAGCAACGGAAGCAUGUUAUCAAAUAAUAUCAAAGCUCUAGUCAUGCAAAUCCCCUUCAAGAUGCAUAGGUUUAUGUAAGAUGCAUCAAAAACAAAUUUAUAUAUAAGAACAAAGUUUAGGAGUAGUUUUAUGCCUCUUGAUCUAGAUCUUAGACCAAGGAUGGACCACCUCCAAGACCUUUGCUCCUUGAACUCCUUGAGCCCAGCCUCCUUCCUUGCCUCCUCCACUUUGUUUAGAAUGAGUGCUCCUAGGUUCUCUUCAAGUUUCCAAAGUUGAAAACCUCUAAAGAUCCUCACCCACUAAUGUAGUGAGAAGGAUGAAGGAAUAACCAAAAGGGUGAGAAGAUGAUUAGUUAAAUCACCCAUAUGGUGGCCGGCCUUGUGUGAGUUUUUGAGAGAGAGAGAUGGUUUCUUUCUUUUUGUUGAAAAAACAACACACAAAAACCCUAAUGAACUUUUUCACUAUAAAGUUCUUUUUAUAACACAAAGAAACCUAGCCAACAACUUGACUUCCUAUCUCUCCUUUUCACUCUAUAUGGCCAGCCCCCUUAGUGUUGUUUGGGCUUUUGGGCUUUUAUUUAUUUCAAGUCAUCCAAAGCUUGAAUAAAAGCCCAAUGGGUUUAGGCCCAAUGGGCCCAAUUAAACCCGAACGUUUCUUUAAGCCCAAAACGAUCUUAUAUCGCUUUUAUGAUUUCUUUAGACUUUCUAAUUAAUCACAACACUUAAUUAAUCCAAUUAAUUAUUUCCAUCAUCCAUUAGUUACUCACUACAAGAGUGUAUUGGUGAACAAUCGUUUUAGGUUCUAAUUAGCAAGGCAGUGAGGUGAUUGGCACCAAUCCAAUUGAUUAUAUUUAAUCCAAUCACUUAGUGAAUUAAAACUUACUUUUAAUUCACCUUUCUUCUUUGAUGACUACAUUUAAUCAUCUAGAAGAACUCACAAGCCAUGAGUGACAUCUAACCAUAUAUCAUGGCUACCCAAGCUAAUGUAGAAGUUGUUCGGAGAACCUAUUCAGUUGGAAUUACAAUGCAAUUCGAUCCAUUCUCUAAAACAAUACUCUCAAUCACAUCACUAGGGUAUGGAUAUAAUAUGUCAAACCCCUAAUGUGAUUAUUCCAUCUUAUAUGAUUCAAUUGAGUCGUAUAGGAACGCUUUCCUUUAUUACGCUCGAUACUUCGGCCGAAGAUUCCCGAAUCAUAUCUUAGAGUAUUCUUCCUCUCUUAACGAGGAUUAGAGAUUCCUUGUUGCGCAUUCACUUGCCUUCAUGACUAAGUGGCUUAACCCCGACUAUGCCGUGGACACCCGCGGAUGGAGUGACUUUGACAUAAUCAAAGAUCAAGUACUUAACCACAAGACAACGAUGAUGCCUCAGGUCAAAGGACUACUUACAUUAUUCCAACCAUUAGAGUUACUUGCUUGACAUGUGAGUAGACCUCCAUGCAAGUACUCUCGUUUCGAUUGUGUUCAGUGAACUCAUUCCCUUAAUGAGCACCUACAUACUUGUCUUAGUGUCACUACACGAAUGGGAUGAGACUUUCCAUCCUUCCUAAUUGAAGCGGACAUAGUAUGUACCGGUCUAUGCAUUGUCAGUAUCCCUCCGACAAUCUUAUGACCAGGAACCUUUUUGGACAUGAUGGUUAUGUGAAGAAGGUCUCUGUAGUCUAACAUCAUUAGAUUACUUCUUCAAUCGAUCCAUUGUCCAUGGAUUCACUAUUUAGGACAUAUAUCGUUUAUUAGAGAUAGUCCUAAUUAGUAUCUUUGCCAUUUGAUGUAUAAGAAUCAUCCAUACAUCCAUUCAUUGUCCUGAAAGGUUUCUUCCAAAGAUUGACUUUCAAGGCAUAUUUCCAACAAUCUCCCACUUGCACUAAAGUCAAUCACUAGUGUAUCUUAUACAUGCUAGUUG
Molecule: long non-coding RNA, 85437 nt
Filed under: Malus domestica (apple)
Lineage: Eukaryota; Viridiplantae; Streptophyta; Magnoliopsida; Rosales; Rosaceae
Description: long non-coding RNA (MDOM_LNC008325)
Source: RNAcentral